This 63130-nucleotide long non-coding RNA is filed under the name Coffea arabica (coffee). RNAcentral describes it as "long non-coding RNA (CARA_LNC000333)". Lineage: Eukaryota; Viridiplantae; Streptophyta; Magnoliopsida; Gentianales; Rubiaceae. The record is from RNAcentral.
UUUUUUUUUUUUUUUUUUUUGUGUGCUUGUUGGACAUCAUUUAAUCUCAUUAACACAAGCAAAGCAGAGGCUGAGCAUUAACCCAAGUUUCCAAGUAUUUCUUCUUCCAUGGCCAAGCUUAAUACUACCAAAAUCUAAUUCAACCGGCAGGAAUAUCAAUUAGAUGAUCAUGAAACCCUAUUCAACUUUUAUUAUACACUCCCGAUUCCCCUAUCGGCUUGAAGUCUUUCUUAAGAAAAAGAAAAAGAAAACAAACCAGGCUUAAUUUGUUUGAUGAAACCAUAAAGCUCAAGCAUAAGCUAUAUAUUUCGGAGAAAAUAAUAGUUUGGCUCCCGCGCUAGAUGUACGAAAACAAAAAAUGCACGAGCUAACAAAAAGUCAUUGGAGCCACCAGCCCACCACCAAGAACUUAAGUGACAUAAGUUGUCGGCAAUGUGGAAGGUUAAGAGUUCAAUUCUUACCUCCCAUCAAAUUUGUCACUAUAUAUCGCUGCCUUCAGUGGCUUUCUCUAAUGGUGAUUUAACUUCCACAGACUCUCUCUCCCCUUAGAUUAGGAUAGAUUAUAUUAUAGAAAUAUUAUCAUUGUAAUAAAAAAAAAAAACAGAAAGUCAUUGGCAACCCGCCAAUUAAAGAACGUGCGUAACUAAUUUAUCCGUUAAUAACAAAAUGAAAAGUCAAAAUACACGUUAUACAAUCCACAUGGUUUCAUCUGAUGAUGACAAAUGCAUUAAGUGCUACACAUGUUUCGUGUAACGCGAACAAAGUUUCCUAAAGGUUUCACCAAAGUUUCUGCUUGACAUCAUGGAAUAUGCCCAUUGGCAGCAACCAAAUUUUUAUAUUAAAAAUUUUAUAUUUGCGAAUAAAAUCAAAAAAUGGACCAAGUUACUCAAUUUGAGCUCGAAUUGCUAAGAGAUCAUUGAGUUUGGUCCGUCAGCUAAAUUCGAACCAAGCUCGACUCGCUUAGCAUAUAUAAUGGAGCCUUUGAGAUGUACAUGUAUAAAACUCAAUCAAACUUAGCUUGAUUAAUGAAUAAGUCAAAUUUAAAUACAAUUUUAAACUCCUUAACACAGAUAGACAAGCUUGAGCAUUUGAUUGCUAAUUAGACUCAUUCACACUUCUGUUUCUGAUUUAAGAUUUUUGAAAAUUUUCUGAGAUAAAAGUAAACUAUAAAAAACAUUUCUACAUGAUAUCAAAUUCUCAAGCUUGGGGGCAAGUAAUUUAUAUUAUAAUAACUUCUUACGGUUAAAUUAUUAAUAUAAAUAAAAAUUUUAAAAUUCAUAGAGGGCAAAUGAAAUUGUCAAAUUUGAGAUUGUGUGCAUUGAAUAAUCCGUUGGUCAUGUGAAUGUAAUGUUGUUCAAAAACACAAGAAUUUCCAAGUGUAGAAGUGGAAUAUUAGUCGGCGACAAAUACAACAUCGUGGCUCGAUUGUGACCUGAACUCAUGUUAUAUUAUUUUUGUUAUCCAUUAAAUUUUACGACCAGGCAAGUGUGAAAUGAGGUCCCGAAUCGUAGGAAAGCUCCAAGAGUAAGCAAGAAUUAGACUUGGAUAAAAAGCCACAUCCUAAAAGCUAUGAAUUAAACACGAAGCUUCGGCUUAGAAAAGGUCACCGCGUAACUUGAACCGGCGUUCCACUCCUCCCCUGCCGCUUAUUACUAUAGAUAGAUUGGUACGCAUAUUAUUAUCAUUUUUAUUUAUUAAAUUGAAUGAUAAAACAAAUUAUGGAAGCACAAAUAAUUAAAAAAUGGUGUGUAAAUAAUAUUUUUCAAAAUAAAUAAUUCUAACCGACUUCUACUUGUGCAGUUGUGCUUGUGCUCUAAGGGUUUGAAAAUAGCCAAAUACAGAAAGAUAGCUAUAUUUGGAUAGCAAAUUUUUCCAAAAAAAUUUUUGCUAGCAUCAUAAGCGUAUUUCUCAAUUCACCUUUUUAUAUUCUCAACCGCCUUUUUAUCUCACAUACAUCAUAUCACAAAAAUAUAUUUGCUGAUCAUAACACUCUUCUAUAUGUGUUUGGAAAAUGUUAGAUUGUUUGGGAGAAUUUUUUUGAAAAAGUACCGUAAUACUUUUUCAGUGUAAUAUAUGUGAGAUAAAAAAAAUGGUCGAAAAAUAUAUUAAUCAUUCGAGCAAAUAAUCUCUAUAUUAUAUAUACUGAUAGUGUAUACGCUAUCAUCAUUGAAUCUAUGAUAUACAUGCAAAAGCUAGAGUUCAAAUUCAAAUUUUACAUAAUUAUCAUUCAUCCAAAACUGACAAUAUAUACAUUAUUAAAUGUAGGAAAGAUUAGAGUCCAUUUGGAUUGCUAUUUUUAGGAUUUUUUUUUUGUCAAAAAAUAUACUAUAGUAAUUUGGUAUAUAUAAGAUAAAAAAAUAACUGAAAAAUAUAUUUAUGAAAACAUAAAAAUUUUUCUCCCGAAAAUCACAGUCCAGAAUCUUCUUCCAAACAACACAGAAGUACAUGAAGAAUACAGAGAAUGUCAUUCAUGGUACCAAGGAAAACUCCCAGAAAGUAAAAAAAAAAAAAGUCAAGCAGUCAACCAAUACCUUCAUUCCACGCGUUCUAGGUGGAAGUAAGUAGCAGUCCUAAGUGUUGGCCUGUGAUUAAUCUAUCCAAAUUUUUUCACAAAAAAAAAAAAAAAAAAUGAAGAAGUACUCUUUAGACUUGAGACUUUCCCAGUCCCCACGCGGCCACACUCGUCAGUUAAUUGAAGAUAAAUCUGCCAAAGGUUCUAGAUUUGUUAAACAAACCCCUGAAGGAAAACUAUUACUCUACUGUAGUUUUCCCAGCCACCGACUCAGACCGUUACCUACCUUAUUAGUUUCCAGUUGUAGUCAGCAACCAAAACCUGACGGCUACUCAUUUUACAUUUUUUCCCUUUGAGGCAGGAUAUUUUUUUUUUACCAUAAGCCCGAAGACUUUUCGAGGCAGGAUAUUUGAUUCACACAUAAACACACACACACACACACACACACACACACACACACACACACACAUAUAUAUAUAUAUAUUAUAUAAUAAUAAUAAUACAGUACUAACAAGCUUACUAGAUACACAUUGAUUUCUUAGUUUACAAGGAAACAAUAAAGGGAUCAUGGGAAAGUAUGCAGAAAAUUCACUCCCUCAACUUCAUCACAUACGUACUGCAAUUUCAGUUGUCCACUCCUGCUUUUGUCAUCAACUACUAGAAGCCUACUGCCUUGUAUAUAUAUAACACAACUUCAAACUAUACUCGUCAUAACUUUUAUUAGUCCUGCUUCUGCCAGGGGAAUAUAUGUAUCAUUAGACCUACUCAGUUUCUUGAGCACAUAAAUUAGUACCGCUAUACUAGAUGACCGUAAAGAGAAGCAGAGAAGACAGGAAGGUUGAGGCAUUCGCCAUGGCCAAUUGCUUGAUGCUCCUCUCUAACAUGGCCAAACACUACUUCCUCUCCUCCGUCGUUGGACGCGAGUUUUCACUUGCAAAACGUGUAACAAGCAGUUUUCAUCGUUCCAGGCGCUCGGGGGCCACCGGGCUAGCCACAAAAGGACUAGACUGGUGGCUGCAGAUGGCCUUCAUGAUCAGAAUCACUCACCUGCUAAGCCAAAGACGCAUGAAUGCUCCAUCUGUGGCCUUGAGUUCCCUUUAGGCCAAGCUCUAGGAGGGCAUAUGACGACAGACCACCGUAAUGAUGGUACAGCCGGUGAUAAAUCCGAAGAAACACAGUCAGGUUUCAGAAAUCCAAUAGCCAUAGCGAUAGUCAUAGAGCUUUGCUGUUAGAUUUGAACUUAACCCUCGUGAGAAUGAAUUCAAGUUUGGUAGGUUGGAUUCUUUUAUGUAAAAUUUCCUAACUUUUUCUAGUCAUCGGAGUAGUUCUUUCCCCUUUUUAAUUUUGGAUGCAGCUCUUGUUCAUUCAUUCUCGACACAUGUAUAUACAUACAGAGGCGUAUAGAGAGCUAUUAUUCUGGUGUAGUGGAUACAGUAGACAGUUUGUUUUCUUGUCUGGUGGGGAAUAGCAUUAUCGACUCUUUAUUCUCGAAUCAGACCGAUACUUCUUGAAGUCCUCUAUUUAAUAUUGUUCUUCAAGGGCAGUGCAAAAUACUGAAAACAUCAAUUUCUAUCUUUGUCAAGACUGACUGAAACUGAUGUUGCCACAAUCCAAGAAACUGAAAUUCGAUGACAUAUUUCAAGGAACUCAAAUGAUAUCCAUAAAACAAACAUGGUGUCCCACAAAAUUUUAGCAUCAAAUCGUCGAAUUUCAAGAGCUGAUUUUUAUCUUUAUGGUAAACUACAACUCCUCCCAGUGCUGGGAAGUACAUCUGAUCGAUACACAGAAUCCCAGACACUUUCUUGCUGUUGGAUGACUUGUAACAAGUUCUGUGCUAGCCCCUGAAGGGAGAAAUUUGAACAACAGAAAAUUACUUACAAUUACAUAAGAAUCUCAAUAGCGUAACCAGCAACAACAAAAUUCCCCAAAUGCUUCACAUUGGGCUUGGCAGGCAGGAAUUAUUACGACUUAGGCAAUGCAUCGCUUGAGAAGAACGAUCCUGGUUCAAACUUCAUACGCCUCCUUCUUCGGAAAUUUCUUGGACCAUUUUUCAUGGCAACAUCAUCAUGGUUCCAAUUCCACGUAUUUAAGAAAGAACGAGCCAUUUACUUCUAAGAAAGAAGCCAAGCUUCAGUAAUCGAUAAUUUGACAUCCCAAAUUCUCAGCAGUUUGGGUUGGUAUAAAUUCUUUUUCUUGCUGCAGCCGUUGUAGCCUCUGUUGUUGAUGCAUGUAGUAUGCAUAUGCCUGACAUUUUGGAUCAAGAUUUGCAUAGCAAUGCAUAUGAGAGUGGCCUAGUUGCUCCACGAUUUUCUGCUACACAAGUUUUCACAGAACACGGAAACAAGGGAAACGAAGAUAACAAGUUCAAGUUUUUGACGAAAAAAAAUGAAGAAAAAUAGAAAAAUUAAUAUUUUCGCAGAGCUUGAUUGCAUAUGCACACGAGACAGUGCAUGCCCAAAUUCUCCACAUUGGGCUUGGCGGGCAGAAAUUACUACGGCUUAGGCAAUUCAUCGCUUGAGAAGAACGAUCCUGGUUCAAACUUCAUCCGCCUCCUUCUUCCGAAGUUUCUUGGACCAGUAUUCUUGGCAACAUCAUCAUGGUUCCAAUUCCAAUUCCACGUAGUUAAGAACGAGUCAUCUACUUCUAAGAAAGAAGUCAAUCUCCGGUAAUCGAUAAUUGGAUGUCCCAAAUUCUGAGCAGUCUGGGUUCGCACAAAUUCUUUUUCUUGCUGCAGCCGUUGUAGUUUCUGUUGUUGAUGCAUGUAGUAUGCAUAUGCCUGAGUGUUUGGAUCAAGAUUUGCAUAGUAAGGCACAUGAGAGUAGCCUGGUUGCUCCAUGAUUUUCUGUUAACGCAAGUUUUCACAGAACACGGAAACAAGGGAAACGAAGCAAACAAGUUCAAGUUUUUCGCAGAGCUUGAUUGUAUAUAAAGUUACAGAUGCACGAGACGAUGCCUCUCAUUUCGAUAUGAAUGUGAUCAGGAAUCUUGCAACUAUGGAAUUUGCCAAAAUUUGUGUACUUUCCUAAAGCCGGGGCGAUCUCACGGCCCAUUAGGCCCAGAUUAACUUCUAAUCACAUUAUUAGAAACACCUAACCUAAUACAUGAAUUUCAUACAGAAAUUGGAUUAAUUGUCGAUUGUUGCCCCCUUCUAUUAAAAAUGAAUUUUUAGCGGCUUCAUCCAUCCCUGCCCUGUUGGAUUAGUUUUCAUACAAAAUCGGAUUAAUUGGGAAAAAAAUGGUGGUGGGGGAGCACUUGAGAUUCUCGGUGACAUGUUUUCUAUGCCAACCCAAUGCCACCAAUAAUAUUGUGCCAAGUGUCAUGUUAUUGGGUGCUACUCGCAUCGAAUCGGAAGAGGAGGACGAGGAUGGGGUAGAAAUGGGUUGGCAAGACAGGAGCGGGGAGGAUAAAAAAAUUUUAAAAAAAAAAUAUCUCAAUGAAGUGUUAAAACUUUAAAAUACUCUUACAAUAAAAAGUUUUUUUCAAUAUACAAAGUGAAAGUAAUUUGUUUUUAAAAUGCAUCUCUAAAAAUAUUUCCGUGCUAAUCUUUAUUUAUUUUUUACAAGGAUAGCCACGGGCUCAUCAGCAUGAAUCAUAAUUUUUCAUGAAAAAAUUAUUAUAACAAUUUGAUGUAUGUGAAAGAAAAAAAUUAUAGAAAAAUAUGAUCACGAAAAAUAAUGUAAUUUUCUGAUGAAAAAUUGCAAUCCAAACGAGGCCCGUUUCCUGGUUUUGGGAGAGUUAUUUCCAGGUUUGCUUGCUUGAGGCUAAAACUUUUCUCGCCACAAGUGAAAGUUUGAAAAAUCUUACAUGUGAUCAUUCUAUGAAUACCUUCCAUCGUUUACCUUUUUUGGUCCUAGCAUAUCAAUUGACACGUGUUGAGUAGCGUGAGAGCAAGAAGGGAUCGGAUAGAAUUUGACGGGUCGAGCUUCCAACCUGCAAUGACAGCACAACAAUUAGGGCUGAAUGGGCAAUGACUUCGACGUCAAAGUCAAACGAUGAAGAGUUUGGGAGUUGAAAGAUGAGCCCGGAAGCCGCUGAUGAGAAGUUGUCUGUGGGUGUGAGCACCGAUCUCGCAAAUCGAAAAUGGCAUGACAGCCAUAGGGUCAGACCCUAGGCGCGUAGUAUCUGUAUCUGCCAAGUGUCAGAUUUGGUGUCAAAUGCGGGUGUUGGUCACGUGCUUACGUAAAACGGUUCAGUCGGUCUGAGCACAUCCAAGACUUCGAUAACCGCUUCUAGAACCGGAGGUGGCGACUGAGUGGUUCCAUAAGUAGUACGUUGUUGGCCUAUUUCACAAAUUUUUCAAAUACAAAGUGAUAGGAAUAUACAAACAAAAAUAAUUUUAAAGACACCUAAUUCAUGCAGUGCCUCAAAAAAUAACUUAUAAAUAUACAAAAUAAAAAAAAAUUCUUCCACCUACCACCACCAUCACCACGCCCUCCCUCCUCCUUCUCCCUCUUCUUCCUCCUCCUCGUUCCCUCCCUUCCUUCACUCCGCCAAAUCUAACCUCGACCAAAUCUCAACAAAAAGGUGGCAAAAAUACUCCAAAAUAUAUCCCAAAAACACCUGUAAAAAUACCACCAAAAAUAUCUAUAUCAUCUACAAUAAAAGUUUUUCAUAUAUAUUAUUACAAUAAAAUUUUUCAAAAUUACGUCUAAAAACAAUUAAUCCAUUAAUUGAAAUCUAAUGAAUUUUAAUCACAAUUUGUUGUUUUAAAAAAAAAAUUUCCACAAUAAAAUACUAGACUUUUCAAAUAUCUUAAUAUAAUAUACAUCUUGCACACCUAAUCAACAAGCAAGUUCCUAUGGCGUUUGGCGUUGGCCAGAAAAAUGUAGUCCCUGAUGGGACAAAUCUGAAUACAACAAACCACACGAGAAUAGAAACAAGAGUAGUUCUACAAGUAAGUUACAUAUACGCAAGUCAGUCAAAUGACUCUCGUGAAUUCAUUUUGUGAGAACAACAAGAGCUUAAUUUAUUUACGUAUGCAACUUUAAGUUUCAUCAGUGGUCCGCUAUUGCUCUUUGCACAAAUAUAUUUGGAUGAUGUAAUGAUAAAUACUUGAAAAUGCUGAGCCGGCCGGCCGUGUACUUCAAAAUUUGGAUGACGUAUGGAUAUAGCAACUAGCAACCACUUAAAAUACUACUACUGAAUUUUGCUAAUUUCCCACAAGGACCGAACUGAGCUUAUGUUAGAUAUAAUUUCGCUAGCAAAUCAAAAGUGGGUUCAAGAAGUCACUUCUGAUCAGAAACUUUUCUUUGAUGAAGAGAAGUAUUUCCCAUCAAGGUUUUCGACAUUUACCUUUUUGUUUUAUUAAUAUUAGUUGUCAUUUUCGUCAAUUGGUGCAGCUGAUGCAAUAGCUGAUAUGGUCAACUUCUCACCAUCCUACAACGACGACGUAUGUGGAUUUGAACUGUCAAAAGCAAGCACAACAAAUGGGAUAGUUUCAACUGUCAAAUCAUGUACCAGUUACUACUACUUAUACUAUCACGUAGAAACCGGAAAUAUAUUGGCUAAUUUAAUGAACUCAUGAGAUAUUGGUUAUAGAAUGUUCAUGAUAUAUUGGUUAUAGAAUGUUCGUAGGUACCUGGAAUGUGGGAGGGAAACCAGCAGAGGUUGGAGUGGAUUUGAAAGAUUGGACACAAGCACAUAAUAUCCCUCCUGAUUUAUAUAUUUUUGGGUACGCACUCCUUUUGCUUCUUAUUACUGUUCCCUCCCCCAAAGUUGCUUUAAGAGGAUCUCUUAUGUGAACAAAUCUUUGACUUCAUUCUUGCUUAUGAGCAUUAUCCUGUUUCACCAGUUUCAAAUUUAUCAGUUUCAGCAGUAAGCCUUACUGCAGGAACGUAAAACUGCAGCAGCUUUUUAUAGUAACAUGUGCACUUCAUAUUCCCAUAAGGUACACCUAAUCUGCAUUUAGCAAGAAAACAGAUUUAGUUCCAUACUAGCGAAUCCCUGCUUCGUCCCAGAAGGAUUACACAAGGUGGCCAUGCUUGUGAAAUGUGGAAUCCAGCAAUUUGUGUUCCCUGGAGGAUAGGAGAAAUGCACUAAAAUUUGGUGGAGGGGAAUUUUCAUAUUGAUGAAACAGUUUGAUUCCCAUUUUCUUGUACUAGCAUAGUGAGUACUAUGUAAUUUAAAUUUUCCACGAGAAAGAUUUGUCCACUCACACGCAAAUAAUUCUCCCCUUUAGGUUCCAGGAAAUCGUGCCUCUAAAUGCAGCUAAUGUCUUGGGUGUAGAGGAUGGCAAUCCUGCUGCAAAUUAAGUGGCUGUCCCUAGUUCGCCAGGUUCUAGAUAGUGGUGGGCAAGGAGACCAGGAUGCCGGCCACAACAUUAAAAGCGUAAACAAUUUGUGUCCUAAAUAUGGCCGAAUAGCUGGUGAUAAAUCCAGAAUCUGUUCUUCAGAUAUGUUGUUCCUGAAUGAAUCUAGUCAAAUUAAGCAACAAAGUUCAAGUCCCAAGACAAUUAGCGGGGGCGAACCAGUAUAUAUAUUGUUUGGCAGCCAGCUAGCAGAUGGUUGGCAUAUUGUUAUGUGUAUGGGUUCGAGCUGAAAUUUACCAGCAAGUAACCAACUUAAAGGUAUCUUGCGUGGGUACAGGCAUCAUGGGUUACAUGGGCAACAAGGUUAGCAUAUGCAGUCGAUGCACUUUCUUGCUGAUGAAUAAUGUAAUAACAAAAGAAAGAAAGCAGUUUUGGACCAAGGUAUCCAAGGCAAAAUGGUACUUCUCAAUCACAUCACUAACUUGAACAGCCUCUUAAUUGGCAAUUUGCAGGGAUCUGUGUCUAUCACUAUGACACUGUAUCACACCUCUUUCUGCUUCGUUUGCACACAUUUGGCCUCUGGUGAGAAAGAAAAUGACAGAAUCCAUGAUGUUUUGGAAAUUCUUUGUAGGACAAAUUUUUUGCUCUCCCGAAAGAGUCUUGAAAAACCAUCCUUUCCCGGCCAUAUAUUGGAACAUGAGUAAGUAUUUAUCUUGUGUACGACAAAUAAGCAUACGGUACAGUAGUUUUUCCUGCAAUUUUCCUGAUGUUUUUGUGUGGUGGGAAUUGGUUAUUGUUCGUUGCUGCAAUAUCUUUUGGGUUGGGGAUCUGAAUUACAGAUUGGCAUCUGGCUAUGAUGAUACUCCUGAACUGCUGAAAAAACAUGAAUGGCAGUCCCUUCUUGAAAGAGAUCAGAUGACAAAUUAGAGUGGACUUCGGAAUGUCUAAUUAUCCUCUUCUUAAUUUCUGUUUGAAUCUUGAAUAAGCUUAUCAGUUGGACUGGACUUGCAAUUCUGAUAGCGUUUGCGGUGGCAUUGACAGCUUUUAGUCGAACAGAGAGUUGGAUGAGUUAUUGAAAGAUGGCAAGAGGGACAGAUACAUUUUCUCCCACAUACAAGCAUCUCAUCAACUCUGACACAUUACGUGAAUCAGAUCUUUAAACAUAAGCAAAAAACUCCCUCUCCGCCUGGCAAGUAUUCUAGCCUCUCUAGUCAAUUUUCGUUGAUUUCCUCCAUUGCAUCUUCUGAUAAUUGUUUUCAUUGAUAUCAAGUAAUGGACAGAGUAUUGCUAUUAGUCAAAUUGACAAAGUUAGAGAAAUGUAUCAAAAAGGUGAACCUCCACUGAGAACAAAGCACGGAUACUGGAAGAGUCAUCUUCGAAGGACGAAAUCAUUUGCCACAAAACUAUAUCACAAAUUGGCAUUUGUGCCUUUGUGUGACAUCCUUUCUAUCUGUCACGCUAGUUACGGGACAAGUAAAAUAUGUUCAUGCUAAUGAGAAGAUAAAUUGGCGCACGGCAGUCCCUUCUUGAAAGAGAUCAGAUGACAAAUUAGAGUGGACUUCGGAAUGUCUAUUAUCCUCUUCUUAAUUUCUGUUUGAAUCUUGAAUAAGCUUAUCAGUUGGACUGGACUUGCAAUUCUGAUAGCGUUUGGGUGGCAUUGACAGCUUUUAGUCGAACAGAGAGUUGGAUGAGUUAUUGAAAGAUGGCAAGAGGGACAGAUACAUUUUGCUCCCACAUACAAGCAUCUCAUCAACUCUGACCAUUACGUGAAUCAGAUCUUUAAACAUAAGCAAAAAAACUCCCUCUCCCGCCUGGCAAGUAUUCUAGCCUCUCUAGUCAAUUUUCGUUGAUUUCCUCCAUUGCAUCUUCUGAUAAUUGUUUUCAUUGAUAUCAAGUAAUGGACAGAGUAUUGCUAUUAGUCAAAUUGACAAAGUUAGAGAAAUGUAUCAAAAAAGGUGAACCCUCCACUGAGAACAAAGCACGGAUACUGGAAGAGUCAUCUUCGAAGGACGAAAUCAUUUGCACAAAACUAUAUCACAAAUUGGCAUUUGUGCCUUUGUGGUGACAUCCUUUCUAUCUGUCACGCUAGUUACGGGGACAAGUAAAAUAUGUUCAUGCUAAUGAGAAGAUAAAUUGCGCACUUUUUGUGAUUGGCUAGCUGUGACUGGAUACUAUGGCGAGGUAAAGGAAUGAAGCAGAUAAUUUAUGCAAGGGCAGAAUCAAGAUUCUCGGACCAUAGGCCUGUUUAUUUUAUCUUCUCCUCUGAAAUCGAUACAUGAAGCGCAUCCACAACACACAAGAUCAAAUCCAGCAGGACUUUUAGCUUCGAUUGUGAUGAUAAGUGCUUCAUAAUGCUCAAACAUCUAACCUGGAGGCCGGAGAUUAGUCACUAGCUAGGUAGAGGAACGAUCAAUUUCUUACAGAUCAAAGAAGCUGCUCUUAAGAAACUUAGUGGUUAACAAGGUUUAAUAGAAGAUGAAGAUGGUAUAAAUUAGUGCAAAUGUUUGAAAGAAUGCAGAAAUGAUAUUGCUCUAUCAGCAAUCAAAGCAAGAUGAGUGAUUUGCUGAGGACGGUCAGUCAUUGAGGGUAAACAUCUCCAUACCUAAUGCCAAAGUUGAUUUCCAGCUCGUCCUUGACUCAAACUUCAUUUUACUAUUUUUUAAGAAAGGGAUCUAUUCCUAUCUGUAUCACAAUCGCUUUGACUCAAUCCGUUCUCAAGCUAUGCACUGGCCAUGUGCAGUCGGACUCCAUGCAACAUAAGUUGGAAAUGAAAUUGAUCGCAAGCUCAUGCCCCUUGUGCUCGUUUUUUAUUGAGCACAUUUUUUUUUUUUUGGUAAAUAAUGAUCCAGCAUAGAUUAAAUUGUAAACUAGUUAAUUACAAUAUUCUAGGGAACCAUACUCUCCUCAAAUCCUCCAACAAAAUGGAACUUAAAAAGAGGGCGCCACUAGUCUACAAAUGAGGAAAAGGAUGACAAGUUUUCAUCCCAUAUUUUUGCUAAGAAAUCCGCUGCCCUGUUACCUUCUCUAUAUUAUAUAUGUGCUUCUAACUUCACUUCCAUAAAGCUAGAAAUGAAGGCCCUGCCUGUCACACAGAAUUGAGGAUGCUUCAUGGAGAGUUGGAUUGUAAUAAACGGCACCUAUAUAUGGAGAGUUGGCUAAGGGAACAGGACUUAGCUGCCUUGUGCAUAUAUGGUUUACUAGGGCAUAAUCAUGGAUUGCAUCUUAUAAUCUGUAUACAAAACUGUUCUUGCUAUUGUAGUAAGGCACGCUAAAGCAACACACGCCUUGAUCAACAAAACCUUUAUGAAAAGCUACAGAGUUCGUCAACUAUUUUGUUCCGACUUAGAUACACUAUUAUAUACGCGGCUUGCGUGCCAUGCCAUCAUGCAUCAUCAAGAAAUGUUUUGUCAUUGACUUUUCUUUUCUAAUUUGUUUGAGUUAUCUUGUUUUGUGAACAUUGGUGUCUUCUUUUGUUCUCCUGUGACUUGAUUCAUGCCUUCUUUCCUUUCCGUGUAAAAGAUGCCUGGGUAUGAUGCAAUAUUGAACUUAUCUUGAUUUGAACAAUUAAUUCUUCUGCUUUCGAGGUUUUUGACUAGAAAAGUAGAGCCCAUAACGAAUUAACGAUUAUUCACAAAAUUUAUAAUAAUAAUAAUAAUAAAAGAAUCCAAAAGCUACACAUAGUUGAUGAUCCAAGGCUUCAAAGUGCUGACUUUGAUAUGGCUUUGCCGUUAAUUAACAUUCUAUACGUUCGGGAUGACGGUCUGUCCCAUCAGUAUGACGAGAUGUGUGCUGUUCUACAUGUGUUCUUGUUCUUGACAAAUUAGUCAUCACGUGAUGAAGUCAAAAGCUUUUAUCCAUGGAACUCUAGAAACUUUUGUCCAUCAAAUUCUGUGGUCUCAUCCGAGAAACAAAAGAUUUAGUAGAAUCUAGUCCGUCAGCUUUAUGAGGUAAUAAGAAAUACCAUACUUUGAUUAAGUCGUUUUAAGAACAGAACUAUCUCUAUAUAUUUGCUUAUGGCAAAACUUCCCUCUUCAAAAGAGAUUCGUUUAACCUCCACUUUCUUCACACACUUUCUGUUCUUUCGCAGCAAACAUAAUAUUUUUUCCCUCGCACUUGUCUGUCAAUAAUCAAUCAAUCAAUAUACAGCAGAAGCAGUUUUGGUUUCUCUUUUUCAUAGGAAUACUAGGCGUUCCAAUGGAGCUGAUUCCUGGCCUUCCAAAUGAUGUAGCCAUCGAGUGCCUUAUUCGAGUCCCAUUCAGCCAAAUAUCAAAGGCUGCAUCUGUUUCCAAGAAUUGGAAGGCAGAAAUUCAGCUGCCAGAAUUUCGGCAGCGAAGGAAGGCUGCUGGAUUUACCCAACCCCUCAUCGCGAUGACACGAGCAGAUAGCAACCUGAAUGAGCAUAUCCGCGAUGAUGAUGACGGCGGUGCUAGACGCUUACAUCAUUACCUGCUCAAAAUCUGUGAUCCUGAACGACGCUUUUCGUACGAGGUGCCUUCGAUCCCAGGACUCUCCAAGGGUGUGCCGAUGUUUUGCCAAGUUGCAGGAGUCGGGACAAACCUGGUAGUGAUUGGCGGGUAUGACCCGGUUUCUUGGAAAACCUUGAAUUCAGUCUUUAUUUACGAUUUCCUGACCGCCACGUGGCGAGAUGGGGCUGCUAUGCCAGGUGGACAGAGAUCAUUCUUUGGCAGUGCUUCUGAUGGUGAUCAUAGGAUCCUCGUUGCAGGUGGACAUGAUGGCAACAAAAACGCACUUGCAUCUGCGCUGAUGUAUGACGUGGCCAAGAAUGAGUGGGUCGUGUUGCGUGACAUGGCGAGAGAGCGUGACGAAUGCAAGUGCAUUUUCCACCGUGGCAGAUUCCAUGUCGUUGGUGGUUACUGCACGGAUCGGCAAGGGGAUUUUGAGAGCAGUGCAGAGGCACUCGAGCUUGAUGAUGUUGACGGCUGGAAGUGGGAUGAGUUAGAAAACAUCCAUGAAAUGGAUCUAGCGUUGACCAAAAUAGAGGUUCCCGGCGGGCAUUCGGACACCGUUCAUGUUCAGUCUUGUUGCUAUUUGGAGGUUUGAGGUAUACUUUUCAUCUGUAACAUGCAGUUUGUUUGUACUAGAGUACGUUGACAAGGCAUAACUAGGAAUGUAAAUAAGGUUUAGUCAGGCAAAGUUCGUUGGAUCCAAGAAAUUUGGAGCUGAACUUUUUUGUUUUUUUUUUUUUGGCGGGGGGGGGGGGGGGUGGGGGUUGGGAAUUGAGCGGGUAGGCUCAAUUAAAUUAUGAUCAUAGCUUGAGCUUCAUUAGGUUUAGCUGAUUAGAUGAGUGAAUUUAAUUUGUGAGAACAAAAAGAACUUUGUAUAUGUAGUAUUAAUGGUUUCAACUUUGUAUACGUAGUAUUAAUGGUUUCAAUUAUAUGUAGUAUUAAUGGCACAAUACAUAUUCGAAAGUUUCUUAAGUUUCUCCUUCUUAUUUUUUUGUUUCCGACUUGGUCCUCUUGGUUUUGCAGUAAGUUCCUGUUUAUAUGAAAAAGUGGCGUUUGGUAAAAGGGUUUCGGAAUGGGAAAUUGGAAUAAACCCAUGAUUCAUGUUUGGUUCACUAUUAUCGAAAUUGAAAUUUUGGAAUGAUAUCUAAAAAUUUAGCAUUCCACCAUUCCUUAGUAAGUUGGUGGGUUUUGUCCAAAACCCAAGUGUGAUUCCAAAAUCUUAUAAUUACAUAAUAUUUAGUAUAAUUAAUAUAUAUAUUAUAUAUUUAUAUUUAUAUUAUAAUAUAUAGAAUAUAUUAUAAUUAUAAUAUUUUAUUAUAAUUAUAUAAUUUAUUAUAAUAUUAGUAUAUUAUAUAAAUAUAUAUUAUAAUUAUUUAGUUAAAUAUAAAUAUAUUUAUAUAAUAUAUAUUAUAAAAUUAUUAAUAUUAUAUAAUAAUAUAUUUAUAAUAUAUAUGUAUAUUUAUAAAUGUAUAUUAUAUGUGCAUAUAAUUAUAAUAUAUAAUGUAUGUAAUAUUAAUAAGUUAUAUAAUUAUAAUUAUAAUUAUUAUUUUAAAUAUAAUAAUAUAUAAUAAUAACUACAUUUAAUAAUAAUAUGCAUUAUAUUUAUACAAAAUAUUAGUACAAUUAAUAUUUAUAUAUUAUAUAAUUAUAUAUUUAUAUUUAUAUUAAUAUGCAUUAUAUUUAUAUAAAAUAUUAGUACAAUUAAUAUUUAUACAUUAUAUAAUUAUAAUUAUAUAUUUAUAUUAUAACAUUUGUAUAAUUAUAAUUAAUUAUAUAUAUAAUAUUUAAUUUAAUUAGUUACAAACUUAUAAUAAUGAUAUUAUUAUAUUAUUAUAUUAUAUAUUAUAAUUAUUUAGUUAAAUAUAAUUAUAUUUAUAUAAUAUAUAUUAUAAAUUUAUUAAUAUUAUAUAAUAAUAUAUUUAUAAUAUAUAUGUAUAUUUAUAAAUGUAUGUUAUAUGUGCAAAUAAUUAUAAUAUAUACAUGUAUAUAAUAUUAAUAAAUUAUAUAAUUAUAUUUAUAUUUAUUAUUUUAAAUAUAAUAAUAUAUAAUAAAUUUACUAAUACAUUUAUACUAAUAUAUUUAAUUAGUGAAAAUUUCUUAUAUCUCAUUUACAAAUAGCCAAUGACUAUCAUUUACGAUACUGUUUAUAAUAUAUUUAUUAUAUUCCAUUCUGAAAGUGCCGACGAAUCAAACAUCAACUAUAGUAAUGAUAUAUAUUCUAGGUACUUGAACCAAACAGAUAUAUUGAAAUGAAUGAGCGCAUUCCAAAUCCAGGAUAUCCGAUUCCGAAUCCAAAUCUUAUUCCAAUGUGCGAAUCAAACGCCACCUAAAAAGUUUUUAAUUCUUUUCCUGAUAAUAAAUAUUGGAGAUUUUGAAUUCAAAUUUUCCUAUUUAUUUCGUGCUAUUUAAGUCCCACACUCCCACCUUCCUAUUCAAAAAAAUUUUUUUUUUACUUCUUAAAUUUCAUUUUUUUCGGUUGUAAAAUUUUAAACCCCAAAAAAAAAAACCUCCAUUUCAGUGAGGUUGAAUCAUUGGCUCGCUUUAGGCUACAUGACAAUUAGUGUGUUUGGAUUGUAAGUUAUUUGAAAUAUUUUUACUGUAGCACUUUUUGUGAUGUGAUGUAUGUGAGAUAAAAAGGUAAUUGGGAAGAUAAAAAGGUGUAUUGAAAAUUGUAAUGGUGAUGUCAGCAAAUAUAUUUGGCCAAAUAAUUGGCUGUCCAAACACACUCAAUGUUGUUAGAUGUGGCUGAAAUCCAUCUGAUCACCGCUCCGAUGGAUGAUAGGAAGAUGUAAAAUCUUUAGCAAUUUAUCAACGGUCAAGAUUACGCAUCUAUGAUACACGUGUAAGUCACUAGAGGGCGACCCUAAAAUUUGAUGCGGCAGGUUCAGUUACAAUUCUAUAAUCCUUUUCACGGGAAAAAAUCGUCUGCUCCUCGCACAUCAUAACCAUGUUUCGUCGACCACAAAACCUACUCUUUCACUGAUCGAGACGACGCCGUCGCCUGCCGUCUCUGUCGUCGCGAAAUUUGAUCGGAUAUCACCUGAAGUUCAUAGUCAGUUGUCUAGUGUAAAGAUCGUUACUUUCUCCCCUUUUCUCUUCUCUCACAAUCUCUAUUAGUUUAGGGUUUAAGUCUACAUAGUUUUUUACUUUUUUGGGUCAAAUAUGAAUUUUUUUCCGAGAUAAAAUGUUGUUAUUAGAGAAAGACUUAAUAUUUCUGUAUUAUUGUAUUAGAUUUUGAAAGCAGGGAACUGGUUUCAUGUAGCAUUUGGGAGUAAACAUUGAUUGAAGUGGAAAAGCUGAAAAUGGUAAUUUUUUUUUUUUGGCAAAUGAGACGUUACGUUUUACUCUGUUUUCCUGCUUGUUUAAUUAUUGUUUUAUGUGGGAUAAUUGCACGGAGGGUUAAAGAUUUUGCUCGUUUUGUACUUGGCUUGAUGUGCAGAUAAUGGGAUUUGAUUAGUUCAGUUGAUCGACGCCUUGGACUUAAAAAUGUGUUUCUUUAGACUUGACAACAUGUUUUGAACUAUGUCAUUUUAAUCAAGGGUAUUGGCAUUUUGGGGAGCCAUCAGCUGUAUUUACAAAUUUUAACCAGCUCAAGAGUUCAAAUGGACGAAGUACAUGAGUGUUUUAUGGCUUGUGUAUGUCUGUACGUAUUAUAGCGGUAAGAUGUGUGAGUUUGACUUUCAAUUUUUAGUUUCAUCCGUAAUUUACAUCUAGACAAGGUUUAGAUGACGUGCUUGUCAAGGAUAGAUGUUGAUUUGUGGUUGUUUUAGAAAAGUAAGCUACAUCUAGGAGGAAGUGAAUGUUUUGCUUGAGGAAUUGUCGUGUUUGAUGCUUGAAGAAUUAUAUUGAAUUAUGUCAGUUCAACGAACCAGUGAAGAGAAUAGAAACUGUGUUGCUGUGGGAAAUGUGACUAUAAGUCUUGCCAAGCUGCUGUUCAGUAGAUAAAGAACCUGUGAAGUUAUUACACCAUUUCUCGUUUAUUUUACUUUUGCACUGGUAAAAAACUAUCAUCUAAUCGUGCAUGAUAUCUUGUAUGUGCUUCGUAUGACCUUUCAGGCACUGUAGAUUUUCUUUACAACUGGUUUGUUUCUCGGAUAUCUGCUUAUCUGUUUUCAUUCUCCUGUAGUGGAAGUUUGGAAACUUACCUCUGGUACUCUCUUGGCUUAACUUGUCGCCUCCUCUCUCAUUCCCUAUCUACAGUCUAUGCGUUUACUCUUUAACACAAGUAGGCAGAAACCUAUGUAUGGAUUCUUUAACACGUUAGUUCAUGCAUCUAGCCGCAAGCAAGAUUUUAGUUUCUUAUGUAUUUCUUUUGCUCUAUUAUCUAUCUAUCUUGGUAUUCUCACAUAGGAUCUCCUGGUUAUUUGUUUUCUGUUUCUCAUUUACAGUCUUUCCAGGACAAGGGUUAUUGGAUGCCAAAGGGUGGCGGACACCUAGGUGAUGGAGAAACAGUUUUUAGUAACUCCUCUAGAAUUGAAGCGAAGCGCACUCAUCAGUGGUUGUCUGAUGCUGCUGAUCAUGAGGUUUUUUCCACUAAAAAGCAAGCUGUUCAUGUUCCAGUUAGCAAACAAAUUCCAGGAGUCCCCAUGACAAGUCUUGCUUGGGAGAAUGCUUCUGGAUUCCAAUCGGCACCAAACCAAUUCAUUGAUCGGUUAUUUGGUCCUGAUACAACCAGGUCGGCCAAUUUAUCAAGUCGAAACACCUCUCAACUCGAUGUGGAAAACUCCAAUAUGAGAAAAAAAGUCAUAGAUGACCAACUUGGGGGUGACACAUCAGUUGGUUUGUCAAUGUCUUAUCCUUUACAAGAUCCAGAAACUUGUGUCAGCUAUGGUGGAAUUAGAAAAGUUAAAGUCAAUCAGGUUAAGGACUCUGAAAUUGGUUUGCAGGCAGCACAGGAACACAAUAUUGGUGUGUCCUUGGAUCAGGCAUAUAACAGGGAUACUGAAACAGCUUUUGUGUCUAUGGCCCAAGCUUUUGGUAAGGAAGCUGAGAGUGUUACCUUGAUGGGUCAUUCUCAUAGUAGGGUGGAAGUGAAUAUGAAACCUCUGGACUCUACCUUUCCAAAAGGUGAUGAUAGUGCAAUGUCACUCAGCCACUCUUUCAGUAAGGGGGAUUCUAGUACAAUAUCCUUUGGUGGCUGUCAAGAUGAGCCGUAUAUGGAUGUUCUUGCUAGGCCUGUUAAUAGUAGCUAUGACUUGUUGUAUAAUCAGUCUUCCCUUCAAACAGCAGAAAUAAUUGAUGCAAGGGAUUUGGAAGCACCAAUUGCAGUUGCAAGUACCUCGCAAACGCCCAAAGGAAAGCCUGAUUCAGUCACCAAAAAUAAGUCAGAAAUGAAACCAACCAGAAAAGAAGCUCCGAAUAGUUUUCCUUCAAAUGUUAGAAGUUUGAUAGCAACUGGAAUGCUUGAUGGGGUGCCUGUAAGAUAUAUAUCUGUAUCACGAGAGGUAAAUCCUUGUUUUUUUAAUUUUGGUUUAUUGACAAUUAUACUGUUUGGUGGAUCAUUGGAAUCUUGCUGUAUGUAAUCAGGAGCUUCGUGGUACUAUAAAAGGUUCUGGGUAUCUUUGUGGUUGUCAGUCAUGUAACUACUCCAAGGUAAUUCAUCUGCUUAUUCUUAGUUUUUAUUCUCUUUUAUGCGAUCCAACCUCUGAAGCAUGUUUUUGGCUGAAGGCUCUUAAUGCUUAUGAAUUUGAGCGUCAUGCUGGUCAUAAGACAAAGCACCCAAACAAUCACAUAUACUUCGAGAAUGGAAAAACUAUAUAUCAGAUUGUCCAAGAGUUGAGGAACACCCCGGAGAGUUCGUUAUUUGAUGCCAUUCAGAAUGUGACUGGUUCCCCAAUUAAUCAAAAAGCCUUUCGCAUCUGGAAAGGUAGUAUCUUUCUAGUACUCUGUCUCUGUCCACACAUACACCCCCAACACCCCCCCAAGUGGGGCCGGGAACAUGUCAAUUGUUUUUUAAGCCAAUGAGGCCUGUUAUUCAUUUUUUUUUCCCUUCUGUGCCAGAAUCAUUCCAAGCAGCAACCCGUGAGCUUCAGCGCAUAUAUGGAAAGGAGGAACUUAAUCUAUGAUAAAGAAUGGCAACCCAACUGCUGCCCAUUUAAAAUGUGAAAUAGGAUAUCGUUUCUUGUGUGCAUAGAGGUAAAUACUUAGAUAUUUGGUGAAAUAGGGCUCGGGCUCAUUCUCGUUUUGCUGUAAUUUGCUGCUGCAGUUGGAAUGUCACAGUUUGUUAAUCUUCCAACAUGCGAUGUCGAAUGGAGGCAGUAUAACUGCCACAAUAUGUACAGUAUUCUGAAUAUUAUUUUUGGCAUAUUGAAGUCUCUCUUUCUAGAUUUGAUGGUUCUUGGGAAGUUCCUUUUUGUGUUGGUACCAAUCGUGGACUUUCUGAGUAGAAGGAAUCAAUUUCAAGGUUUCCAAAUUCUGCGAGGGGCUAGAGAAUUCACAAUUUGGUUUACCGCAUAUAUUCAUGUUACCGUACCUUCAUUGUUUUCCUAGGGCAUCCGCUUGGAAAAAUUUGUUCGGCAUAACUUCCACCAUUCCAUGGUCAUCUUCAUUUUAUUUGCUGACAUUAUUUUGCCCUAAACAAGAUAGUUUAAGGUUACUGGCUUCUUUUAUCAAAUAAUUGUAGAAGGUGCAUUUUUCUUUCAUUUUCAUACCAUCUUUUACAGAUCUGACAAGAGCAUAGAAAAGAACGACUCCACUGUUGAUCCUUUUAAGAAAAGAAAACCGCCAAGACCUCCCCUUAACUCAGAGAAUUAGAUCGCACCAUUUUGUAUGGGAUUGGCCAGAAUUGUUUUGACAAUUAGUUGACCUUCUACAAGUACCAGUCAUCAAACUUAUGCCUUAUCCAACACAUUCACUAUUGCAAAAAGGGUAACGGCCAGCCAUCUUUUUACUGCUAAUUUCUGAAGCUUACUGCAUUAACUAUGAAGGAAUAUGCAAUCCACAUCUGCACAAAUCUAUUUCACAAUUAAAGAAUAAACAACACUGAAAGGACAAAUUCAGAAGGGAUUACUGAUGAAACCAUUAGCGUCUGGCCACAAUAAGUGCAAGUUUCUCGAUCAGUAAGAGCCAAUCUUACACAAACUAAAAUAAGUCCUUUUAAAGAAUGACAAUUAAUUAAAUUACAUCCACCGACAAUGUUUCGUCACAAUUAGUUUUUGUUUUUGUUCUCUCCUGUCAUUGAGCACCUGAUGUAAGUGCUCAUUAGUAUUCUUCCAGUUCAAGAACCGCAGCAAGCAGAUUUUUGAGCAAGUUGACCAGCACCAGCAGCCUGAUCCGGUUGAUUAAUUUUGAUUGUUGAAGCCUGCAAAGGCAAGCAAACUUAGAUCGCAUACUUUGUAUCAUCUAUCAGAGCCAGUUCAACAAUACCAGGUUGACUUACCUCCGCUUUAGAGUCCGUGUCUGCAAGCCUUUGCUUAAUGUCCCUUGCUAUUGAAAAGAAAACUUCUUCCACAUUAAGAUUUGUUUUUGCACUCUGCAGUGUAGUAUAGUCAUAUUAAGAGAAGCAACAGAAGGAGCUAUGUCACAUAAUACAUUCAAAAGCAACUUACAGUCUCAAAAAAUUUGAUACCGUACUCAUCAGCAAGUGCUUGACCCUUUGAGGUAGGGACAGCCUACAAAUUGUCCAAUUGCUUUAGACAACAUACUGUGACAUAAUGAUAACCAAAUGGGAUUUGAAAGGAUUCCUAAACAUUGUAUAACAUAAUCUACAAAUCAUGCUACUUGUCUUGCUCUAAACAAAAUUAUUUCAUAUGCCAGUUUGUCUAAUUAAUAAGAAAGCUUACCCUUUUGCUUUCAUCCAUGUCAGCCUUGUUCCCUACCAGAAUCUUGUUGACAUUGUCAGAUGCAUGCUGUUCAAUGUUACGAAUCCAGUUCCUAAUAUCUGAGAAAAUGGUCAUAAAAUUCAGGUUCUAUCCUCAACAAAUCUGUGUACCAACAAAAUUCAUUAAAUCAAGUAUUAUAGUAUCUAGUGGCACAUCAGAUUCAGCAAAGCUCAAAACAUCCAGGGGUCCCAAGAUGGCAAUAAUAAUGCCUCACGUAAGAAGAAAUGAAAUCCAAGUAAAAGUUCGAAAGGAUAUAAGUGAAAACAAAGAUAAAAUGGCUAAGCAAAUUAUAUUUCGUUGAUCACAAUAACUUGAGGGUGAUAAACAACGAGCACAAAACUUAAGCAUCAUAGAGUUUUGUCAAAAAAGUUUUGAAGUUAGAAAUAGACCAAUUAGAUGCAACUACCGCAGGAAAACAUAAGUAAAACUUAUAUUAUAAAAGAUGCGGCAAAGAAACCUUACUAUUGAAGGAUGAUUCAUCUGUAACAUCAUAGACCAACAAUAUUCCCAUAGCUCCACGAUAAUAAGCUGGAGAAGGUUAAAAAGUCAAUACAUCACAGGCAUUAAAAUAAAAUAUGAAAAAGUGCCAGUGAUACCUAGACUAAGUGACAAAACAAAUACAUGAACAAUAGCACAUGGGAGUCAUGAAGAAAUAAAACCUUCCAGGCAACUCCAUAUGACAGUGAUGAAAAAUCAUAAAUAUUAAAAAUGAAGUGAAAGGAGAGUAUACUGUUUUCACUGCUACACAAACAGCUGUAAAGACACAAUUAAUGGUUAAUAGGGGAAGAAAAGCAACAAUCCAAUUCAAUGUUUUGUCAUCAACUGGAAUAGCAGUCUCAAAUAACAGGUGCAAAUAGACCAGUUCACAGUUCCUGAACACUUUUUAGCUUCCAAAUUCAUGAAUGAAUAAAAGAGAAGCAACAUCCAUUUGAUAAGAAGAAAGCAGAAAAUUUAUGCACAAUGAAAAAAGCACAACAUAUUUAAAGCAGAAGCAACAACAUACCAGUGGUGAUCGUUCUGAACCGUUCCUGACCAGCAGUAUCCCAGAUUUGGAGUUUGAUCCGCUUGCCAUCAAGCUCAAUGGUUCUUAUCUUGAAAUCAAUUCUGAAGAAGAAAAUAUAGCCCCUCAUUUUCCUAAAAUUCAACCCACUUAACUACCCUUGUCUAAACAGGAAUUGAAAAAGAAAAGAAAGAAGGAAAAAUUAAAAACUCACCCUAUGGUUGUGAUAAAACUGGUCGUGAAGGAACCAUCUGAAAAACGCAAAAGAAGGCAACUCUUACCCACACCUGCACAUGAGUAACUAAAACUCCAUAAGGGCACUAAGUGUUCACCUUCUGUCAUAUGAGUUUAUUGUACGUAUUCACCAGACUCACACAAAACUUAAUAAAAAUUUGCAGAUUGCAUGCUUAAUCACGUUUACUUGAUGAGAGUCUGAGGAACAAAUCCAACUUCACACGCAAAUGUAGACUUAUAUUCCAAUUCAACUUUUUUCUGCAAACUUGAAGUCCCUAAAAAUUUCCAGCUAGUCAAAGUAAAAUUACAACAAAAAUCAUAAUUUCAUUUGCACAAACACCACACUGAGUAUGCCAGCAUUAAGAGUAAAACCAUGUUAGACAGGAUACUCAAGUAUUAAAAAAAAAAAUAGAUAUCAUUACAUGAACAGCAGAUUCUUCUUUUUGGAAACCUAAAUCAACUAUAUUUCCCAAUGAAACCAAAAAAGAGGGAGUACUUCAGUACAUCUUGCCUAACUAUAAUCCUUCUCAUUAGUUGAUAUGGUACACGGAAAGGCAAACUACCUGCAUUUCUAGAGUUUCUAUGACUUCACAAACCCAGAAGCAGAUGUUAAUGCUGCCACUAUGAUUAUGAUGCAUACAUGCUCCCGCUACUAAACCAUCGACACCACCAUUACGACCAACCUGGAUGCUAUUGAUUCCACCAUCAUGCCAAGCAGCCCCAAUCCAUUGUAAGCAUAUAUUACCAGUUCAAUUUGAUGAACUGAAAGCACUAAACACGAACAACAAAUACAAAUCUCAACUUCCAAAACCAGUCCUGACAAGAUCGGAGUUUCACAAGCACAAACGUGUAGUUUAUCCUUUUGUAAGCUAAUGAUCGACAUUAGCUAUUCGAAGAGUCUAUAGAAUAAAUUCAUUAAACCACAAUGGAUUUGUAGACAUAUGAAUAAAAUGCCACUGGUAGCAUUUUUAGGCACGGAGUUAUAACCAAUAAUCCAUACCCCCCCCCCCCUCUUGAAUGAAGCUAUAGAUCCACAUACAUUAACUGUUCUGAUUGACAGAAAUUGUAACACGAAUUAAAUAUCAAUUUAAAAAUGCUAAAAAAGGCUCGAUCCAUGAAAAUUUUGAAAUGGUACUAACCACUAUCGCCGAUGAGUAGAAGUUUUAUGAGGUAAUCGUAGUCCGCUCGAGCCCUCGCCGGUGGUGCCGCCAUUGAUGUAUUAAUCAAUUAAUAAAUACAGUUCAAUACCCCAAUUUGACCGAUGGAUGGGAAGAUACAAAAAUGAUACAAAAAAUAAAGGAAUAAUUUCAGAAACCUCCCUUGAGAAUUUUAACAAUUUCAUUUAGCUCUCUUGAUGUUUUAAAAAUUACAUAUACCUCCCUUAUCUUUUAAAAUGAUAAUACUACCCUUGAAUAUUUAAUGAAAUUUCCUUGUUUGGUAUGUUUAUAUUUAGAAUGACUUUUAAAAUUAUUUUUUAUUCUUUUUCCUUCCUAUUCCUUUUUUUAAAAAUUUUUUGCCAAUAAAACUAUAAAACUAUCGCUAUUAUCUCUAGUUCUAUUGCAAUCAAAUGUCCAAUUAGUGAUUUUUUUGAUGAUUUAACUUUAUAUACAAUCCAACGUUUUCGCUGAUCUUUAUUUCUAACCCUUUGUGUUUGGAUUGUAAGUUAUUAUACUUUAUUUACACAUACUGAUUUGCUUGCAUCAUUAACACAUUUUCCAAUCACUUUUUUAUCUCACAUACAUCAUAUCAAAAAGGUGUUACAGUUCUUUUUCACAACAUUAUCUCAAAUAAUUUACAAUCCAAAUUUAUCCAAUUAAACAUCUUUUGUCAUUUUUUAUACUUUCCUUUUUAUCCACACAAAAACUAAAUUUUAUCCUAACUAUCUAAUUAUAUAUAACCAACAUAAUAAUUUUUGUUACAACUACCAAUAGGUUUAAAUAUCCAAACUUUUUUAUUAUAAAAAGGGUUUAAUUACAAAGGCAGCUACCAAUUAACAUGACUACCAAGAUAACUAUCAAUUCAUUGAAAAGAUUCCACAAAAAAUAAAUUAUUCUUAAACUGCACAUACAUGGGUGUGCCUUUAGCACUAGUUUAAUAUAAAGCUAAUUAACCACGCUGCAUUUAAUGUAAGGAUAUUUUAGAAAGAUAAUAAGUUACGUUUAUUUUUUUCAACAAAAUUAAUCAACUUUUUUUUAAAUAGUGUGAAAAAAAAACAAACUUAUCAAAAGUGAGACGUAGGAAGUACUACAAAGCAAUCAAACCAACGCAUCCCACUAUGCCACAAAGAGAGGAUGACGUAAUAGUACAAAUUUUACUCCCCUCAACUUUUUAAUACUUUUAACUUGUUUCCUAAACUUUCAUAUUGAAUAACUGCACCUUUGGCAAUUUUAUUGAUUUCUAAUCCAAUUCUGUUUAGGGAGAAAGAAUGGCACUUUUUAGAUGGAAAAAGAGGCGUUUUAAGGGGCAUUUGGGAGAAGACACCACCGCAAUGAUAGCAAUAGAAUCUAUCAAUAUUGUCAAAUCCCUAUUAUAUUAGAAUCUCUUUAGAGUAGAGUUUUUGGGAGUUCAUAUUGUAAUAAUAUGGGAUUAAAAAAUAAUUGAGAAAUGUGUUAACCAAAUAUUUCAAAAAAUUUCCGUGCAAAACUAGCUAUCCAAAUUCCAAAGAAGACAUCCAUAGACAUGUGACCAGCAUCUUGAUAAUGAGGUUGAGGAACAAGUCAUUAUGCAUUAAUCAUUGAUGCUAUUUUUUCUCUUGAAGUUUUUCUUGAUGUGCAUGUGCGUCAAUAUAGAGUUCAUUGCGCUUAAUGCUAAUAGCCUAAUUGUCAUGAUCAAAGAAAGGGCGCCUCAAGAAAGACAAGCAAGCAGAAAGCUACGUACACAAUAGACAAUCUACGAAGUUGACUUUUAAAUUCUUCCUUUGGCAAACUAGUUUAAAAUAAAUGCAUUAAAAUUUCCUCAAUUAGGACCAUGCACAAUUAAUAUUCAGUCAUUAAGUCAAUUGGGUGUUAAAUGCUGGAGCCAAAACAUAAAUACUUGUCAUGCUUCAGCAUACUUAAAAAGUACAAGGGCUUUGCCUGUAAGGUGGAAUUUCCUGUAGACAUGUCACUGUACCCGAAGCUAAAAGAAAAUCCAUCAUGGCUUGUUCUGGUAGUUUGGUAUUUAUUGUACUAUUAAGACCUUGUUUGUGCGUAUUGGUCGCGUACUGAAACAUACGACGGAGUAAAAGAGAGCUACAUCAUUAUAGUAAAUGCAGCUCAACUAGUUUUUUUUUGGGGUCGGGCGGAGUGUUUUGAGGGUGGGUUUGUCUUCAGGUUAACUACUUCCCUCCGGAUUAAGAUUUAGGACUGUAAUGUAAUUUCAGCCGGGCAAAAAAUCUCAGCGGCCACUAAACUAUUGAUCAAAUUAUAUUUUAACAAUUAAACUAUUUUUCGUCAGUAAUUAGCCAUUAAAUAACUUAAACAGUAAAUUCGUGAUCAUUUAAUCGAUAAUUGCUCUUAAUUUGUGAAAUUAGCUGUACACGUGACGAAGUGCGAGGUAAAUUUGUCCAACAGCUAAGCGACCCUAUUUCACAGAUUAAUUGCUAAUUUUACAGAUUAAGAGUAAUUAUCGACUAAAAUGAUCACGAGUUUACUGAUUAAAUUGUUUAGUGGUCAAUUACUGACGAAAAAUAAUUUGAUGGCCAAAACAUGAUCCGGCACAACAUCUGCGGAUCAAAGGAAAAAGUCGGUCCCAUAGAUUGGAUAUAAUAGCAUCUAUCUUUUGCCUAGGCAGGAAAUAUAAUUAAGGUGAUCAUUAAUUGUCUACCAUUCUUGCAGUUUUGGAAGGCCAUCAGGGCAACGUGCUUUCACCUGAUUGAAAAUCCUCCACUGCUCAGCUUGACGGGGUCAGUAAAACCGAGCCAUUAUUGUGGGAGUGGGACUCGAUCUGGAGACCAGCUAACGCCAAGGUUUUCUGGUACGGUAAGGUAAUGCCUAAUGGAACACGUUAAAUCACGAUGCAGGAAAAAAAAGGAGAGGAGAAAUAAAAUAUUAGUGGUCACGAAAAGCCACCAUAAGAAAACGGAGCUCCAAGAAACUCAAAUUGCAAAAGGAAGACAUAUGAUGACCUACACCCACGUAGCAUGGCCGAAUAGACGGACUCCAAUGCCUUUUUUUUUUUUUUUGUCAAUACAGGGGUGUCCGGGUCAAGACCCGAAGGCGGCCCGAUUAAUCCCCUGCGCCUUUUUUUUUUUUUUUUGUCAAUACAGGAGUGUCCGGGUCAAGACCCGAAGGCAGUCCGAUUAAUCCCCUGCGCCUCCUGAAGUAUCCCGCCUCCCAAGAGCACCCAGGCGAUAUGUGAGGUCAAACUCGAACCUGUGCCACCCGAGGAUUACUCCCGAGGCUCACCAGCCGAGCUGACCCGAGGGGCUCUCCAAUGCCCAUUUGCUUUGAUAAGAAUUUCAUUUUCAAUAAUGACACGGCAUAAAAAUACCAAAAGGGACCAAUAAAAUAUAGCACAGUAGCAAGCCAAGUUAAUGCUUGAAGGGAUAUGCUUGGAAGAUCCUUCCCCACCAAAUUUUAAUAGCAACCAUUCCUUUAAAGUUAAUGAACCCCCCUUAACAAGCCAUCUCUCUGGCUAGAUGCUGGAGGAUCUCCUCCCCCAGCUCCAGUUCCAGUUCCAGUUCCAGUUCCAGUUCCUCCUCCACUGGCUCCAGCAGCCAGUGGAGGAGGUUUCAGCUUCAGUUUCAGUUUCACUAAUAUGAUGGGCUCCGUCUGGGACGAUUCAGCACCUGGUGGUCGCUGAAGUCGUAUGGCAAGCGGGAGGAGGAGAAGGGUCGAGCAUGAUCCAGUUAUAUGGCGCAGAAGUUGUGAUGCUCGCUCCAACCUUACUAGGUAUUUUGGGCAACCACAGAUCCUUUGGCAAUGCAUCUAUGACAGAUGUAUCUCAAGCUUCAGUAGUAAACAAAUAUCUUUGUUAGAAUUAUGAUAUUUUCUAUUCCUAUAUCUCUGAUGUCUCUCAAAUUUAGAUGCAUUUUGGACACAGAAAAUUCAAGGGCAGUUGAUAUUUGUUUUUCUCUUCUCUCAAGUACUAUAUAUUGAUUGACUUGCCUUGGUUGUGUAUUGAUAAUUAUAUAUUACGUAUUCAAUUUCAACAUAAUUUUUAGGCAAUAGUUGCCCGAUUGAGUCGGUCAUAAAUAUUGCUCCCAUAAAAAUUGUGCAUCCGGCAGAGCGUGUGUAUGUAUGUUUUUAUAUUUUUAAUUUUAGUUUCAUUUUAUUUGGCUUUCCGUUGUUUAAGCUUUUAUUCUUAGGAUGGAAACAGUGCAGCUACACUAGGCGGCUAGGCGCAAGCAAAACAUAGCUUAUUCUUUUUAAUGCGAGUUGAUGUGUUCGUGUAGGAGACCGAGAUCUGCAAGAAAUUGACAAAAAAUAGAGGACUCGUGAUUUUGACAUGUCAAAGUAGUAAAUCAUUAACAAUAUAUAAAAAAUGACUGGAAAUAACGAGGGGGAAAUGUUGAUUUAAUUUGUGUAAUUCAAGUCUAGAAUUUCAGGCAUUGGUAUUUGUUUUCGGGCAAAUUACACUUUACCCCUUUGUGGUUUAGCUAAUUUUUACAUAACCUCUCUAUAGUUGUAAAAGUUAUAUAUAAUUUUUUUAUAAUUUGAAUUAAAAUAUCAAAAUGACGAAAAUAAUUAUUCGUAAUAGAACCUAUAAAAAUGUCGAAAUUACCUUUGUUUAAAAACUAAAAUGAUUGAAAUAACCAAAAUAUAUAAACAUAAUAUGCAUAAUAAUUUAACCCCAUAUGACUUUAUAUUUUAUCAUAGAACUCCUUUAUGCUUUUUAUAUAUAUAUAUAUAUAUAUAUAAUUUCCUGUGGUUCAUAAUUAAUUUUCAACUUUAUAUAGGGGUAUUUUUGCCAUUUUAGUUGAUUCCAGUAUAGAUUGCAAAUUUCGUCAUUUUGAUACUUUAAUCCAAAUCAUGAAAAAAUUAUGUUUAACUUUUGAAAUCAUAAGGGGUAAUGUAAAAAAUACCAAACUACACGAGGAUAAAGUGUAAUUUGACCUUUGUUUCUCUUAUUCUCCAUUUCGGCUUCAAUUUUGAUCAUCCCCGUGGUAAGCCGAGAUCUAGUGACACGGCACAUUAUUAUAAUUAUUUUUUUCUUCUCUCUUUUUCGGAAACAAUACAUGAUAUUCAGAUUCACUCAUGAUAAGCUAAAUUGGCACAGAGUGUCUUUCAUAUACCAAGUAAAGAUAGCAGUCAAGUAACAAAGGCAGCAACUUUUCAUUAAUCAAAUAGUCCAGUGCGCUCAUAAUGAUCCAAUUUACACAAGUUCAAGGCCAAUAGACUGCAAUGAUCAGUUUUAAAGAUAGCGACUGGCCACAAGGCAACUUCAACCACGAUCCAGUAUAUUACAUGGUCAACUUGUAUACUUUUAGAAGUAUACACUUUUACAAGUAUACUAAAAAUUCAAUUAAGCUCGUCGAGCUUACAAGCUAAGGAAUAUAACGAUCAAAAUCGACUUGUAUAUAUUAUUUGGUAGUUCAAAUUUGACUCAAACUCAAUAAAUAUCGAAUUCAAAUCUAAUGAUUAACCAAGUUACUCAUGAAUUUGAGUCGAAUAAUUUGAUCAGCCUGCAGCCUUAUGUAGUAGCAGUCCAUGUUUUGUUCGUAAAUUUUCCAAACCAGUUAUAUGUAUUGCCAAAUGCACCAAUCAAUCACAUUAGACGAAUCCAAAUCGCACAAAAACUUGAUAGCUCGGAAAAAGGCAAUCUUACCCGCCAAACGGAAGCAAUUCAGAACUCGAAUUGCAAUUGCGGUUAGUCCUUUUGGUAACACGAAUAUAUCGACAACAAAAGAUUCACCAACCAUAUAAAAACCCGGUGCUAGGGGAGAGUAAGCGAGUAAUAAGAACAAGAAAAGCUUUUCACCAACUCAAUUUUUUUUUAAAUGUAAUAUUAAAUCCACUUCUUAUUUGGUGCCCUGACAGCACCAAAUAAACAAACCCUUUUAAUUAUAAUCAUUUUAUACCCAUGUCAAUACAAAUGCUACCAUCUACACGUAGCACGGUUAGUAAAAGUUUUAAAACAUUACCUGUAAUUUCAUAUGCUAUAGUAUAGAAGGACGUACAUAUUUUUUGUGACAGUCCCACAUUAUCUCAGGAUGAACCCUAAGGAUUAGCGAGCUAUCUGCCCAACUCUCGUCGGAGUUUAGUCAAUUAAUAAACCAGCAACCCAAGAAAACUAACUAAAUAUCUUCGAAGUAAUGGUUACAAACUAUAAUAGAAAUAUAAUCGUCACAUCAAUUUCCCAUAUUUAAAAUAUAAAGUUAAAUGUCAAACUUAUAAUUUCAAACUUAAUUUACAUAAUAAGUGCCCAACUUACAACUUCAAACUUACAAGAGUCAAAGAUAAAAUCUUAUAAACAAAAAGGAUUACAACCCAAAAUACAAGUUCAAGAUAAGAUUUAAAACUAUGCAAGUUCCUGAUAGCAAUCCCAUCACAAACCUGUUAAAGAAAACAAAAGAGAGUGGGGUGAACUAAAAUUCAGCGAGAUCCCAAAUAAAUAUGUAGGCACAUACCUAAUUAGAGGCGUAAUAUAAACAAGUAAACACCGUGUAAUUCUGAAAUAAUUUAAUCACAAUUCAAUUCAAGAAUACGGGUAGUUUCCAAAAGCCAAAUUCACUUAAACUUGAUCGUAUCGAGAAUCCGUUGACUCUCUGCCAACGUUUGCAUUUAAAGAAUAUAAUGUCCGUAAAACACCACUUUCUCCAAAUUUCGUACACCAGUUACCCCUUUACCGGAUCCGAACAUUUCAAACAAUAUAAUUAGAUAAUACUCGAGUAUACCAAUUUUCGGAUUUCAGUAAAUAGUUCCCAAGGUUCAUCGGUCUUCUCGACCAAACCCUUGUUGGCUCGAUACAACCGACUCACUUACGAGGUUGGGUUCCUAAACAGUCACAGUAGUCGAUGGGAUAUCACCCAAAUGAUGUAUAGUCAAAUAUAAAGAAAUCACGUCUUAAAUUUUCAGUAUACAGAGUUUCAGUAGAAUUGACGGAGGUCGAGUGUGAUAAAGUACACGUUUACCUCGAGUUUGUCAAAUCAAAUUUUUAGAUCAAACAAUCACAAACCAAGUAUUCAGAUAUCUCACAUAGACAGGUAAAAGGUAGUAGAACGCCCACCUAUUAAGAAAUUAAGAGUUUGUCCGUCAAGUUCCGUGAUUACCCUCACAUUCGUUUUUCAAUCCUAGGCAACGAGUAAAAAUCAUUAAUAUUCUUGAUUUAUUUGCCAACCCAAACGUAAGUUUCAUUAGAUAACCUAAUAGAUUGUUAAUCAACUCAAUUUACUAUGCAAGUUAGACAAAAAAUGUAGAAAAAGAUCAUAAGAGAAAUGAAUUUGAUAAGUGCAAGAAAAUUGAGUAAAAGAAAAUUCUCAUUCAAGUUCAAAAGGGCUUUCGCAAUAAAACAGUCGCCCACGCGCAAUUUCGAAAAAAUGAUCAUAUUUCACUGUAAACAAGUCGGAAUCGUAUGCCGUUGGUGGCACUGGAAACUAGACUCGAAGAGUUUUCUAAUGGUAUAAAAUACAAACUCUAGUUCCUCUCCUAUCAAUAUCAGAAGUUCGGGGAAGUUGACUGAUUUUUCUGUUCUGAUCAGCUCAAGACUUUGACAAAAAUCACCCUAAUCCUCCUCCAUAACCUUAUUCAUUUUGACUCAAAUUCAUCCAAUUCAAUCUCCUAAAGUUAAUAUAUAGGGGUCAAGUUAUAUAACACUAGUUAAGUUUAAAAUUCAACAUACAAGAUGCUAAAAUGAAUCAAGGCAGUCCAGCUAACAAGGAAUAACAAAACAGUCCAAUACCUUGCCAAACAACCAAUUUACUUGCUCCAUUUCACCUCAACUCACACAUAAGGUUAAACCAAUGUUAGGCAAUUUUCUUAAACUUAAGUAAGGUUCAAUAAGUCACAAAAAUCAAGGAAAAACGUCCAAUCUAUGGCUGGCUAGCAAGAAAAAAAAAAAUAGUUCCGAAAUUCACAUUCAACACCAAUCUCCAUCCUUCUAUUAUUUUUAAUUUAAACAACGUUCUAAGAGUUAUUUCUCCAUUUAAGAGGGUUCAUAACAUGCUAAUACAUCAAGGAAAACUACAAACAAAGCUUAGGCAAAGAAUCAAACACAUGGCAUGUCAUAUAUCCAACCUUACUUCCACUUACUUAGCUCAAGGAGUUUAACCACAAACAACAUCAACUCAACUUCUAAUUUGUCAUCAAUACCUUAAACACUUGAUAUUAAACAACAAAACUAAGGUUUAAAGAUCAUUCACCUUUUUUAAAUGAAGUUUGAACCAUUCAAAAGUCCACAAAAGUAAGAGUUCCAAGUUUGAAUCACACAUAGACCUUGAAGAUAAUUUACUUAACUAACUAAGGUUCUUUCUCUUUUGGUUUUUUCUCAAAGUCUAAGCUAGAGUUUCAAGCAAGAAAAUUGAGUUUUUUCUUCUCUCUUUGGAACUUAAGAGAGUCGGCCAAGCUAAGGAGAAAAAUGGAGUCAAAAGGUUUAAAUUUUGCUAAUUUUCCUGGUCAAGUGGGUUGAGUGGUUGGGGCAUUGACACUUGGCUCAAUCUUGGUCAUUCCUUCUCUUAAACUUUGCCAAAUAAUGUUUAUACACUCAAAGUUUUUCAAAUGUCUAAUUAGCACCCUUAAACUUUCACAUAAGGUCUCAAACACAAUUAAAAGGAUUUUUGGUCCUUGUGCAUAUAAUGAAAUAAAAUAAUACCAAUUCAAUGAGAUGUUACAAUUCAUGUAGAAAGACAAUGCAAUGCAAUACAAGGAAAGAUUACAAUUUAUUUAGUCUUAGGGCAGUGCAAGUAAUUUAGGAGAACUUAUAUUCUUAAGUGAGGGUUAUCACAUUUUUAUUUUUUUAAAGAGUAAAACUUAUACAUACUGGCAGUAUAUACAUUAUCACGGUUGGAUAUACGACACAUAUACAAAUUUUGAGUUUCAAAUUUAAAUUCGAAUUAUGUAUUAUGCACAUAAUAGUGAAAAUAUAUAUAUUAUCAAUAUAUAAAGAUUAAUCUUUUUUUUAAUAGGUAAAGACAUACCAUAUUUUUUUCCCCGUUCUCAUAAAUGGCCUUGCUCUAUAUUUCGAAAUUUCAUUAUGGUACCAUUUUCAAAAGAUUGAAAGAGAGCUUAGGGACCUGCAUUCCUCGCUCGAGUGGGAUCCGUACUGGUGAAGCCACGUAUUUUUUGCAAUUACAUUUUUUAUUAAAAUCUUGCAACUACUCCUAGUCAACCCACAUACUUUUCCAUCCUUGGAUCACCAGUAAUUUGAAUUUUCACAAAAACAAAAGAUGUUCAUUCUGGCGGUUUCCCAAAAUUACCUCGUUAACCUUACAAACCGCCAAAUCCAGAUGAUCGCCAAUUGUUUAAGAACUCAAAUAAACAACACAAAAACCAAAGGCGCCAAAGCCAUAUUUCCCACAGCCCAUUCUUUUCCACAAAACUUAUAUCUCAACCGUCCAUUAUCUCACUUCCACCAACCAUUUAAAUCCAACACCUAAUAAGUCUCCAGCUCAUCGAUCCAGGUGCUUCCACCAUUAACCAAUCAGCUUCCACCAAAACUACCCAUAUAAACACCUCCUCCUACAGCCAUUAUCCAAAAAUUUCAGAUUUCUCACUGGAAUCGUCGUCUCAAAUCAAAUCUAUCCGCCUUUUUUCUCCUUGCAAAUCUCUACAUCCUAAUGGCACCCAAGGCAGAAAAGAAGCCCGCCGAGAAGAAGCCGGCAGAGGAGAAGAAGUCCGCCGUCGCCGAGAAAGCUCCUGCGGAGAAGAAGCCAAAGGCCGGGAAGAAGCUCCCCAAGGAAGCCGGCGCUGCAGCAGGCGAUAAGAAGAAGAAGAAGGCGAAAAAGAGCGUGGAGACCUACAAGAUCUACAUCUUCAAGGUGCUGAAACAAGUCCAUCCGGACAUCGGAAUUUCCAGCAAGGCCAUGGGAAUCAUGAACAGUUUCAUCAACGAUAUUUUUGAGAAACUGGCUCAGGAGGCUUCCAGGCUUGCUAGGUACAACAAGAAGCCCACCAUCACUUCCAGGGAGAUUCAGACUGCUGUGAGACUUGUGCUCCCUGGUGAGCUUGCUAAGCACGCCGUUUCUGAGGGGACCAAGGCCGUAACCAAGUUUACUAGCUCUUGAAGUUGUGGUUGAAGGGUUGAUGGUAAAGUGGGGGAAGUGUUUCCUUUGGAAUUAGGGGUUAUUAGGUUUUGGUUAGCAGCAAAUAGACCAUUUUUUGUUUGUAGAUUUUAACUUUUUGGAUGCUGAUAUUCGGGGAUGUAAUUCUGGGUAUUCUGGAUCCUGCUAUCUAGUUCUCAUAUGGAAUAUAUAGUAGUUAAAUUUUCAGUGAAAUCCUGGAAUUUUUCCCCACACCCCCCUUUUUUUCUUUGUUUAGAAUUAGAAUACAUUUACUCAGUAUUAAUUUACCUUUGUUGGGAGUAGUCCUGCGGGUGUAAGGUUUGUUGGGUGAAUGAAUGUCUCUGCUUGCAACAGGUUCAUGUUGUCAGUUUGAACUCAGAGCAUAAGCCAGCACAUUCGAAAUGUGUAAAAGAAUAUGAAACACUUUAAUUGAUCGAGAGUCUGAAAUGUUCAGAGUUCUUAUUCACUGAUUCAAGUCAUAUCUUCUGGUGCCAUUCCAUUAACUAUUUAACGUGAGAUAAGCCUAAGGUUUCAAAUUGCGUGCAGGGCAUCUGAAUGAAGAAAAUGGCACCUCGUUUAGAAACUUAAAUGAAUUAAUUUCGCAUUCCACUAACAUGCAAGCAAGGAUCCUGAUUGUAAGGACUCGAAUGCUGGAGCAACCUCCACGGAUGAUUCGUUAAUGCCCGAACAAGGAAAUGAGCAGGAGAGAAAGCAGAAUUAUUUCUGGAAAUGGCAUGAAUAGAAACGAGAAACAGAGAAACUAGUAUGGAGAUUUAGCCAUUUAGGCAGGGCUGUGAUAAUGAAUGGAGUAUGCACCUGUAAUGUAGAAAUUGCGUGCUCAAGCCCUCGUUGACAGCUUACCGAAUGUUAUUUUCAAUGAAUCAGUUCCUUAACUCUAAUAUGCCAAUUGGAUCAAUGUAGAGACUGGCAUUACUUCAAGCGGGUGACAUCUAAGAUGGGACAUUAGUCAACCAUUAUGUUCCAUCUCUUUACUCAUCCGUUUUUUGGGGGGUGACUUAAUGCCUCCGCUCUCUCAAAAUGUCCUGACAUAUGAAACCGCAUUUUCAAAAAUAUUAAAAAUUCUUAAUUUUGGUAUUAAAAGCAUAAAAUAAUAUGAAGAACACUUGAAUCGAGUUUGAAAUGUGCAAAGACCAUUCUCAUUUAUUCAAAUCAUGCUAUUCUAGUAUAGCCACGAACUAAGCUCCAAAGUGUGAAAUUACGGGUGCAUUUGACAAAACUGAAAUUUGAAAAUUAAAAAUUGAAAUAUGAAAUUUGAAGUUUAAAUUCAUUAAAUUAUUGAAUUGUUAAAUAUUAAAUUUAAUAUAUUUAAAUGCAUAUUAUAUUCAGUGAUAAAUGAAUAACUUAUCACUUAAUUUUAUGAGCAAGUUUUACCUAAGAAAUUCAGUGUCACUUAAUUAAUUCAUGUGUUCAAUUUUUUGUUAUCAAACGAUCUGAAUAUGUUAAAAUUUAAAUCCAUCAAAUUUAAGUGCUGAAUUGAGUUAUCAUAUGCUGCCUGACCAUUCUAAUUCUCCUUCUCCUGCUCUCUUAUCCACUUGCUGUUUCAGUUUCUUUGAGGACACAAGUUUGGUCUAAAGAUCGGUAUAGAGAUUAUAUCUCAUCGUUUUUGGUGUAGUUGUCUUGCAUUGAUGUUAUCUAAAUAUUGUUUUUUCAUUAAUUUUAGCAAGAGUGUAGGUUCUUGCCACUGAUACAGGAGCACCCGAUCGGGACGGCCAGCCAAGACCAAUUUUCCUCUGUUUUUGAUGCUAUAUCUCGUAUGGAGCCCUCACAAAUGAGAUCCUCGGUACUACUUUUGAGUGGUAACUGAGUGUCAUUUCUAUAUUUAUGUCAAGUGUUUUAUUUAUUUAAAUUGUCACAUGUUCUUUAAUUUUUUAAUAACUUGAAUUAAUUUGGUUUAACUCUCAAUUGUCAAUUCCCAAUCAUUGAGAUUCAUGUCAAUUCGGAUUAAUAUUUAGGUAUAGAUAUUACUUCUUUUUUUUUCUUUCAAAUAAAUUGAAAUGAUUGAAGUUUUUCUAUUUGGAAUCGUGUUAGGUCUAAUUCCUAUUACUUUGGCUGGAUUAUUCGUAACUACAUAUUUACAAUACAGGCGUGGUGAUCAGUUGGACCUUUGAUUAAUUAAUAUAUCAUUUUUUGAUUGACCUCCUCCUUUCCUUUUAUUUAAUCCAUAGGGGUCAAAUUCCUAAUUUCGUUACUUCACGUGAUAAAUGAAACUGACACUAAAUUUGAUAUUGGAUAAUGGUACCGUAGAUCCCAACUGGGAGCCCACAAAGGAAAAAAAUGUUUUUGAGCGUAAACUAGUAUUUAUUUUUUAAUCAUUUUGCAUGAACCCGUCAUUGUUAUCAAGCACUGUACAUGCUGUCGAAGCUGCAGAAUUAUUUGGGAAAAUGGCCUGAACAAAAGAAAGUAGAGGAACUUGGGACGUUUUACAAUUAGUGAACAAGUAAUCUAUCAAGCAAAAAUGGUGGAUUGUAUAAGGAAACGAAAUGCAAUUCCUAUUCAUAUAUCUCGGAUUAUAUCAUACAUUUGCCCUUAUUUAUCUUAAUUUAAUUUAGUUUAGAAAUGGAAAGUUUAUCUUUUGAUUUUAGGGGUAGGGUUUUGAAAUUUUUUAUAAAACAUUUGUCAUUCAUUAAAUUUGCAUUAAUGACAAAAAUUACAUUAAUCAUACUCAAAUAUAAUGACAGAAAUUACAAUAAUCAUAUACAAAUAUAAGCAUAUCUGAAGAACAAAUACUAAGUACUACAGUCUGAAAAAUAUAAAAUACUUAUAACCCAAAGAUUCGUGUAUGUAUGCUUCCAACUGUACUGCUUAAAUUCUCUCAUAUUUACUCAUAAAUUGAUUCAAACCCAAUGUUAAAGUGAGAUUUGAUGAGAUAGAUCUAAAGACUUCCAAAUUUGACAACUAAAUUUGAAAAGAUAUAGAUCUAAUAAAGAAAUAUAAAAAUUACAAAAACUCUCCCUAGAAAUCUCUAGAAGAGGAGAAGACUCUGUUAGGAAGCACUAAAAGAGGAGAAAACUCUCACCGAUAGUAUACUUUGAUCUCCCUCCUACAGGAGAAAGAUGUUUUCUUUGCUUGCUAGGGAAUGAAAAGUUAGAGAGAAAGAUGAGAGUUCAGAUUUAGAGAAAAGUUACAAAGAAGGAGACACAUUCUCCGUUAAAUUUCAAUUUUCGAUAAUUAUUGGGUUAAGGUUUUGAAUUUAGGAGUUAUUAGGUCAUGUUUAGCCGUUAAUAAAAUGUUUUAUGAACUUUAAUUUUGGUACUGUUGUUUUGAUACUUUGGGAUGUAGCACUAGAUCUUCUCGAUCCUACCGUCCAGUGCUUUGUUUGGAAUGGAACAAUAUGUUAAAUAUCAAGCAAAAAACUUGCAGUUAUAUUUGGGGGCAGAGACGCCCGGCUGCCCUAGUUUUGCCUAAUCGCCUCUAGACAAGUUUUAUUUAUAAUUGUUGUUUUACCCGUGAAACUUUAGAAAAAUAUCAUUGCCCUCCCCCUCCCUUUCACCUAAUUUUUGUCUUGGAAAAAAAAUAUAACUUCUCUAAAUAUUUCUAGACUUUUAUUAAACUAGUUGAUCUAUAACAUUUAAUUUCCUAUUAAAUUGUUUAUAUCAACAUGUACUACAAUUAAAAGUUAUAACUAAUAUUUGGUACAUUAAAAUAAAAUUUUGUGAUAUGUUCUAGAUUUUUUUUUGGUGAGGUGAUAAAGAAGAAAAGAUAGAAGCAUGAGUUACUAUAUAAAUUUGACAGACUAAUGAUUUUUUUUUUUUAAGUACAAAGGACAAUUGUUUGGAAUGGCUUUUCAUCCUUGCAAAUUUUCAAGUUUCAAGCAACAUAAAUAAUUCCUUGAAAAAUGAUGAAACAAACCAAAAAUCGGUGAUGGUUUAUUACCCUUCUAAUUGACAAUUUCAAGAGAACAAUAUCAAAAUAUAAUAAAAGCAGAAUUGGGUAGAAAAAAUUGCAUAUAAAUUAGGUUGCUUAACUUCAGUAUAAACAACUUACUAAGGUAAUACAAUUAUAAGUGAGAGAGGAUAUUCGGCAUUCUGACAACAAUGGCUUGAUCCAUCUUAUGUCUUCAACCUUAAUUAAAAUGUGUAUAUAAUUUAUGCACAAUUCAAUAACCUAGCUACCUUCAUAUUUCUUCUUAUUUUGCAUUAAAGAUCACGAUUCUAUAUCACAUUAACAAACCUUCGUCCCUUCCUCUUCCUACAUAAAGAACCUAUUCACUUAUUAAUUUACUCUUGUAUAAUUUUCUGUUUCUUCGUUUCUAAUUUACCAAACUGGACAACCAUCCCCAUAAGCUACCAAAGGGCCUAUUAACAAGGUUAUUGCCGAGGACGAUGCAAUGGGACAACAGAUUCAACAAGUACGCAAAACUUCAUGUCUCUUUGUUUUGCCUCUCUAAUGGCACUAUGAGAUUUUUGGUGUAGACUAUCAAAAACAUAUACUUUGAGAUUUUUGGUGUAGACUAACAGAAACAGAGUACACAGUACCAAACCAAAGAUUCAACUACAAGUCUGAACUAGAGUUUUGGACUUGAGUCAUGUUUAUGUUUGCUUUUGCGGAAAGGGUGCCAGUUUGAUGGGUUUUGACAUCCUAGUUACUGUAAACUUUUCAAUAAAAUCGUACUAUCAUACCACAUUUUCAUUUUCAAGAAAUAACACUAUGCUACUAUAUGUUCAAUUCUGGAUAUAUGCUUGAUUUGGAUAUAUACCUCCCCUCCUUCUUAAUUUAGGAUUAUUACGUCUUAGUAGUAGUUCAAAGAUGUUCUUUUGUUCAAAAUUUUGACAUUGACAUUAUGAUUUUUGAGGUGUAAUAGAAGUUGCUGACAUUUAUUAAUGGGGUCUAUAUUAAGUGGGGGAAUUGGGAACAUGUGGCGUUGUAGGACUGGUGAAUAAAGGUGUGUUAAAACGAUAAAGGAUUUCUGCGUUUGCAUUAUUUGAGCUAGAAUGAAGCAGAGAUCUUGCCAGUUCUGGAUUUGACCUUCGAGACGUUCACGUACAACUGUUAGAUGGUUUUAUUGCAACAUGAUUGGUUGUUAAUGAUGUGUGGAUUGGGAGGCAAUAGGCUAUUUGAGCAUUUUUAUAAAAUUUUAAAACUUGUAGAAAAAAUUUUGUGUAUUUGAAGGUCUGAAGAAUUUUUUUUUCUUUCUUCUUCCUUCCAUCUUCUUUUUUUUUUCUACCCCAUCACCAUCAACCAUCCCAACAACUGCCACUAUCUCACAUCUCUUUUUUUCCUUUCUUUUUCCUAUUUCCUCCCUUCUUUCCUUCUCCUCCUUUGUCCCUCUUUAUUCUCCUUCUUCUCUCUCCAUUCCCCCUAUCCCCUUCCGCUUCCUCUCUCCCUAUCCUCGCCUCCUCUUUUCCAUUCCCUCUGGUCAAGUUCCCUUGACAAACAUACACAUACAUAUAUAUAUGUUUAUAUGUAUGUAUGUCAGAUUCUGAAUUUUUAGACUUCUCUUAUCAAAUGCUAACGAAUUAUCAGUCAGUCAUUUAAUCGGAUUAAUCAUCGGGUCAAGUACUGCUAUUUCUGGGUUCGUCUAGUAGCCUGGAAGCAAUUUUCUACCAGCUACUUACGGUGCCAAAACUUGAGCUAAGGUUUGACUAAUUCGUACAUAAUGUAUAUGGUCAGCAAUCGACGAUGAAGUUAGAAUAAUAUUUACAAAACUAAAAGCAAUUACAUUAUGCUUUAAACCGUACAUAUUCUAAAAAAGAAACAAAAAAAUACAUAGAUAAAUAUAAAAACUGAAUUUGUAAAUGGUUGCAUUUCAAAUGGAUCCUCUAAUCAAAUUACAACUAUGGCCCCAGUCAGUAGUCACACAUAAUAACAAAAAAAAAGAAAAUAUCCCUCAAAAAGAUGGUGCUUUAAUGGAUUUUAAAGGUGGAAGAGGUCGCGGCCACUCACUCCAUUCAUAGGGAAGUAUCCAUAAUCCUUGUACUCGAAGAAGACGAGCAAAGUUCACCCUCGAGUUCAACUGCAUGGCUGUCCAAGUUAAAGGAUAUUACUUUCCUGUGGACAUCAAAAUAAAGGAAAUGUGGAUAAGUAGGGUGAAACGCUGCGGGGUUAUAUAUUCUCUAGAAUUUGCCGGUCCAUAAAUCUGCGGAUACUUCUCGGCUACGUCGAUAAAGGUGUUGGAAAACAAUUUGAACAAUGCUAACAAAAUUGUAAACGUAAUUUGAGGAAGUUUCAGUUGUACUAAAUAGUACUGUCCUAAAAAAUUAUUUUAUAAAGUUGAAAUAUUUUCCCAAAAUUAAACAAGCAUUCUUCUUGUAAACAAGAAAAUAUUGGAGUUCUAUGUUGUGAGUGCACUUUCCAACCUAUAGGAACAGCUGAUAUUUAUAGGCACAAAAAAAAAAAUACAUUGGGGGAAAGGAAAGAAAAGGAUAAGUGAUAAAAAUCUUAACCCACACUAGUUAUCAAUUUAACACAAGUUCAAUAUAAAACAAAAUAUUAUAAAAUGAUGAAAAGUUACUUUGAUUUUUCUAUGUGGGAUAAAAUCUUUUGAAAUAUUUAUUUAUUUGCGACAGAAGGUUUCUUGGAACUUGAUUAGCCAUUUAGCAUUUGAACAGCGAUAGUGGCUUUCCAGAGCCCAGAUACUGAAGAAUCCUCCUCGAUCCGAUAUAUAGUUACAACACAUUUGACACACCUAAAUAGUAAUACCAACAGAAGCCUGGUUCCUCAUGAGGCAAAUCUACGAGCCGGUAAUUCCUGUGUUCAACGUCGAUAGCAAAAAUCUGAGGUCCUUUGUCCAUCCAAAAGAAGACUCCAUCAAUUACAACAGCCAGCUUGCAGCAGGAGAUGAAGAAGAAGAAUGAGAAGAAGAGCAUCAAGACCUAAAAGAUCUACAUCGUCAAGGUGCUAAAACAAGUUCACCGGACGUCGGAAUCUCCAGCAAGGCCAUGGGAAUCAUAAACAGCUUCAUUAAUGAUGUUUUUGAGAAGUUGGCUCAUGAAGCUUCCAGGCUUGCGAGGUACAAGAAGAAGUCGACUAUUACUUCCCGGAAGAUUCAGACUGAUGUGAGGCUUGUACUUCCUGGUGAGCCCAAGUGCGCGUUUCAGAAGGGACAAAAGGCCGUGACAAGUUUACUAGCUCUUGAAGAUUUUGGUUGAUGCCUGAUGGUAAAUUGUGAAGUUUGUCAUUUGAUUUUAGGGUUAGGACUUCGAAUUUAGGGGUUAUUAGGUUGUGAUUUGGCAUUUAGAAGGUGUUUUUUAGAUUUAAUAUCUCGGUAUUGGCAACCUAAUACAUGGAUAUAAUUCUGGAUCUUCGAGUGCUUUGCAUGGGAUAGAAUUGUCAAAUUUUAAAUGAAGACGUUGCAGUUCGGACAAUGCUUUAGUAACGACAGUUAUGGUAACGAAAUAAUUUUUUACCUGAUAUAACAGAUAGUUGCACUUUUAAUGACCAGUUGAUUAUUUGAUAGGCCUAUCCCCUAAAUAGGAUAACACUUAAAAAUAAGAAAGUAAGUUUCUCAUCUAAAAAAGUAAGUUAACAGUAAUAAAUUAGUAACUUUUAUACUUCAAAAGGUAAAUUGGAAUAAAUAUUAAACUUACUUUUUAAAUAAAUAAAUUACUACUUUAUAUUCCAAACUUACUUUUUAGAGAGUAAGUUUAAUUUAAAUAAUAGUAAGUUUUAUACAUAAAUAGCAAUUCUUACUGAUAACAUGGUAAAUUUGAUUAAGAAUCAGAGCUUUCUGAUUUGUGGCACACAUGUACUAUUUUAUUUUAAAACAUAUUUCAAACUAGUAUUAGGAAAUUUAUUGGAAAUAAUGAUAAGAUGUUUUAUUAAUGAUUAAUUCUUAGUACCUUAGUUAAGUACUCGUAAUAUACUUGUAUAAUAUAUGAUUAUAGGUAUAAUCAAAAAAAUUUAUUUAUAUAUUUUAAAAUACUAUGAAAAAUUGUUUGACUUUUCACAUGAUCUCGUAAGAUAUGUAAUAAAAUUUUGUCGUAUUUUAAGUUUUUAAUCAUUUUCAAUUUUUGAAAAGUUUGAAAGUUUGGAUAACAAUAACAACAAAUCUUCCUAGUUAUAUAUAGAAUAUUACUUGUUUAUAUAUCAAAAUUUUUAUAAUUUAACACCUAUGAAUAUAAUAAGAUGAUAAAGUUUUCAUAUAUUUACAUCUAGGACACAAGAAAUGAGUUAAAGCCUAAACGAAAUGAGAAAUAAUAUAUUAAUAAAAGUGACAAAAUUAGUAUAACAAUUAAUAUAAGAAAAUCAGUAUGAUCUGGACUUUUUUUCAUGAGAGAUUGUUCAUAAGAAUGGGAUUCAAUAAUUAUAAAUGAAAAUCACAUGCAUAUAUAAUCUAUUGUAUAAUUUAAAUUAAAUUUAGUUCACGUAUAAAAUGGUCCUAAAAUAAUUUGUACACUAUGAUACAAUGUUAUUUUAACAACAAAAAAAAUUUUUUUACUAAAAGUUUCAAAUAUCCAUGACAUACGUAUAAGGGAUAUUUUACCAUAUUUGUAUCUCACAUCUAAUCAUUAAAGUUAAUUUGAGAAAAAUAUUUUUGACAAUAGAAUUAUUUUGAAUUUAGUCAACAAGUUGAGAUUUUUUAAACAAUAAAAGUGAAAUAUUUUGGGAACUUAGUUGUUUAUUUCUCAUAAUUAAAAUUGCUAUAUUUUAGCAAUGGUUGCCAUUGACUUUUCGUUCUAUAGACUAAUUUUUAUCAAUGUAAAAUUAGUUUUAUUAACAAUAAUUGAAGUUCCAUUGAUCCGAGGAUUGGCAUUCUAUUGCUAUUAUUUUUUAUGUAAAUAUUUAACCUAAGUAAUACAAUAAAUAAUAGCCACUUAAAAAAAGAAAAUUGGUGCUCAAUUGAUUGUGGUGUAAAAUAUUAGUAUGCAAUUAACUAGAGUUUGAAAUGGAAUUAAAUUUACUUAAUAUUUUACUGCUAACAACUUUGAGCCCAUUUAAUGGUUAAAGAAAAAAUAAAAGAGACGUAGAGAUUAGGAUUGGUUCCUUAGUGUGAAAAAGGAAAGUUCCUCUAAAAUAUUGCUGCGUGAAAUUCUGGAUGCACAUGAAAUUAGAAAUGUGAUAAUUUUGCAAUUCAUUCUCAUUCAUGAUGAAUUUCUUCGAUUCUAUAUAGAAUUGCAAUUUUUUUCGUUCAGCACGAAAAUAUUCUUUUUUUGUCAUUAUUGAUAGCUUUUGCUAUUAAGAUUAUCUACAAGUCGGUGGUUAGUAUUAUUGACAAGGUUAGAGGUCAUGGAAAAUGUUACUAAUUUUAGAAGAAAUUAUGUAUUGUAAAAAUGGUUUAAUAAAUUUCUACUAAGCAUAACUACUACAUACAAAAGGAAAAGACAUUUGAUUUUAUUUUGCUUUGAUUAUAAGAACUUGUACUAGUAAUAAAGGAAAUUUUAAUUCAACAAUCAAUGUGCACAUGCUUACAGUAAUUUUUUAGUCAAUUAGACUAAUAUAUGCUAUAAAGUAGUCAAAUUUAGUCAUUUGUGAAUUGAUAAUUUUAACAAUUUACAAAACAUUCAUCUAUAAAAAAUUAUGAUUAUUAUAAAAUGAUAUUUUAUAAUAAUUUACAUACCAUUUGCCAAUAAAAAAAUAGUUUGAUAGAAAAAAUAUGGAUACAAAUCCAUAAUGCAAAUGAUACAAAGUAUGUUUGAAAUUCACAGAACUUAACAUAUGGGUAACUUUACUAUAAUUUUCAAAGAUUAUGCUAUGUUAAUACAACUUUAAUUUUUAUACUUGUGACCCAGAAAAUAAAUUUAUUAAAUUUUACCAUUUUAUUAAAUUCAUAGGCAUUAAUAUAUGACAAUUGUGAUGUAUAAGUAAUUUGCUAUUUUAUAUACAACUCAAAAGAUUUGUUGUUAUUAUAAUACAACUUUAAUUUUUAUACUUGUGACCCAGUAAAUAAAUUUAUUAAAAAUUUUUCAAUUUAUUAUAUUCAUAGGUAUUAAUAUAUGGAAAUUAUGAUGUAUAGAUAAGUGCCAAUUCUAUAUAUAACUCAAAAGAUUUGUUGUUAUUAUCAUCCAAACUUUCUAACCUUUCACAAAUUCAAAAAUAAUUCAAAAUUUAUAAUAUGACAAAUUAUUCUUACAUAUUUUAUAAGGUCAUGUGCAAAAAAAAAAAAAAAACAGUUUUCAUAGUAUAUUUAAAAUGCUUAAAACAUAUAACAUUUUAAACGAUACGUACAAUUAUGUAUCAUACAUUUACAUUACGAGUAACUACUAACUAUAAUACUAAGUUUCAAUCAUUAAUAAAAAAUCUAACAUUAUUUCAAAUAAACUUCCUAAUACUUGUUUCAUAUAAGUUUUUUAAGUAAAAUAGUAAAUUCAUACCACAAACUAGUAGGUUUUGACCACUAACCAAAUUUACUAUUCUAUUAACAAUAUUUACUAUUAAUCUAUACAAACUUGCUAUUAAUUAAACUAAACUUACUCUCCAAAAAGUAAGUUUCAGAUAUGGAGUAGUAAUUUACUUCAAAAAAAAGUAAGUUCCAUAUUUAUUCCAAUUUACUUUUUGAGACGUAAAAGUUACUAAUUUAUCGAGUAAACUUACUAUUUUUUAUGUAAAACUUACUAACCAAAAUUUUAGGUACUAUUAUAUUUAGAUGACCACUCCAAUAGGUAAUCAAAUGGUCGCUAAAAGUGUUUUCACCCAUUAUAUCAGGUAAAAAUAGUUUCGUUACCAUAACGGUUGUUACUUCAGACUUUUCCGUUGCAAUUCUAGUUGUCGGGUCCUCCACGCCCCUCUCUUUCUAGCGUUCCUUUUUUUUUUUUCUCCUUUUUCCACCUCAGUUCUUGAACUAUUUCACUAAUGUCAAUUUCCUUCCUCAAUGUUCUUUUAGCCUAAUUUAAUUCUUCAAAUUAAAUGUCUUGUCCAAUUAAAUCCUUUAGAGCGUGAUACCAACUAAAAUCUUUCCCAAUUAAAAUCUUUCCAGCACAAAGUCACCGCCCACUUAAGGGCAAUCCAUGAAUUACAGAGCUAGGGCCAAACCUAGAACCCAAAAAAAAAAAUUUUUUUCCCAUUAAGGCAAUCCCAUUCCAUUCCCGUUAUCAACAGACCUCCUUUAGAUGGUACUACAAUAGAUAUACAAUACGUACACCAAUCUGUUUCACAAGAGGUUCUUUAAAUAUCAUACAAUUUUCUUGAAUCAGAACGUUGGAGUGGACAGUUGAUGAUACUUUUAGGAUUACUUCAAAACUUUUUUUUUUCCCAAAUUCCAACUUAAUUAGUGAGAACAUUAUCCAAUUAAUCAUAAUAUUCAUGGCUCAACUUUCAAACCCUACCCUUUUGCCCUUCCUCCUUGUAGAGUUUGAAGUUUUUAGUUGAAACCCCAAAAAAAAAAUGUUCAUAAAGUAAGCAGUCGACGGAUAAUAUUUUAAUUGUUUCCAUAUCUUGCCGAUCUCUGUGGGUAUUUCGGUAGUUGACUCCUGUUCAGAAGCGCGAAUUUGCUAAUUUACCACGUUUGACGUCGCUAAAACGAUGAAAGAAACAGGAAAAUGGAAAAGCCAAAAAGAUGGAAUGGUCGUUACGCAAGCAUAAAUCGUGUAUCGGGCCUUCUAACCCAUUCACAGCUACAUGUCUCAGCCCAAGUUGUUCACCAAGGAACAUUCCUAAUUAACGAUUAUAAUCAAGGAUUAUGCCUCUUGAUCAAUGCAAUGGCUAGUACAAAUUCUUUCCAGUUUCAUCCAUGAUAUUAACAGGCUAAAAUUCAGCACGCUACUUAGCGCAGAACAACUAGAAAUCGCUGAUCUAUAGCACCGCAAUUGUCAAAUGCAUGAACACGUAGAAUUUGGGGGAAGGGAGCAGGCACAAGCUGUACAAUAUGCAGAAAGAGCCGCAGACCGACCAAAGGAACAACAGUGGAACGUUGUACGAAGAUUUUGGAAGCAUCUAAUAGCAAUGAAAAUGAUAAUUCACAUUCACUUAACUGCAUCACACAUUACUCCCUUUGAUUCCCCUUAUUCGGUGCCUUUCUCAUUUGCUGAUUGUUUUCAUCAACUUUUUGUGCUUGCAGACAUCAAAAAGUGUCUGCUAUGGAUGUUUAAGAAGUAAGACCAAUGACCAUAAUUUUGACAAAGUGCAGCCAAAGGCAAACUUUUGGCUAAGUCUGAAACAGGCAGAAAUCAUGUAUAUCAUCUCUCAUUCAAAUCAAGAUUGCUAUUGCUAAAUUUCUUUUACCACAAACCUACUUUCAACAUUCAGGCAUGGCAUGCAGGUGCUUGUUUUGGGCUGAUCUCUGAAUGUGCAGUAAUAUUCCGAGGACUAUCCUUUUAUACCUUGUGAACGGCCACUCAAUGUAGAUUUUGUGACCAAAUAUCAAAUGAUCUUGAGACCAAACCAAUUACCAAAAAAGAUUGGAACCCAAACUACACAGCUUCUCCAGAGACAAACGAUACAAAUUGAAGGAGGCUAUCUUUCUAAGUCAAAGUUGUUGAAGAGAAAUUGAGGGGAGAUUUUUUUCUCAGUGGUUUUUCAAUUACAGGAUGAUGCAUGAGAAGUCACAACAACAUUGGAAUAAAUAAUCCUCCGCCUCCUCCUCUUCCAGUGUAUGUGUGUGCAUGGUUGUGUUUGCGUAAUGGUACAAUCAUAACUUAGCUCUGUCUCUAGGCAAUAAAGCUAAAACCAAAUGCUGGCCCUAGGCCAAAGCCAACUGCUAUUCCAGGGAAAAAAAGAAGCUGCAGAACUCUAUUCAACUUCUUUCUUGCAUCCUAUUCUGAAAAGGACCAUUCCAACAAAGUACGCAAAAAGCUUCUCCAGCACCAAUACCUAAUUGGCAAAAUUUUAUUUCAUGUGAGCAUCCCAAAGUCUUUAUCCCAAUGAUGCUAUAAGCUGAGACAUCCAAGAAGGAUUCAUUUAGGUUAUAGCUACUACCUAGCAGGCAGAUAAGCCAGCAUCUCCAGUUUUUGCCUCCUACCUUUAGUAUUAUGACAACCAAAAAUCUGUUGCAAUAACCUAUUAGACAAACCAGACUACAUGGUUUUCUCACCUAGCCACUAGAGCACUAAGUACAAUCUCAUCUUAAAUGUCCAUUGGACCUACAUGUAACAGUAGAACAGAAGUCUUAAAAGGACAUACUAACCCAGACAAAAUAAAAUGAAAGUGAUUGAGAGAGCCAUACAUUUCAGAAAGGAAUCCUAGAAUCAUAAAGUCAUACUUCAAGGACUUCAUGAUCUCAAUUUCCCCACAGGAUCAACCAUUCCAAAUGCCAAAUUGUAUUAUAUAUAGAUUACCAACAUAAGUUUUAAGCAGAACUGGGUCAAAUAUCCAUAAUUCGGGAAUAAGAAAACACAAGCUAGAAUCUUUUUCACAUGGGAGUACAGUUCCAGCACCACCCGCCUUCUUCUCCCUCCCCACCAACCACACACACCCCCCCCCCCCAAAAAUAAAUAAAUAAAUAAAAGGAUGUCCAGAUAUAUAGAUAAGAGAGCCAUGCUUUUCAGAAAGGAAUCCUAGAACCAUAAAGUCAUAACUCUGGGACUUUGCAACCUCAACUUCCUCAUAGGAUCAACAAUCCCAUAUGCGAAGGUGUACCACAUAGAGUUACCCUGAUAAAGUUUAAGCAGAACUGGUUCAAAUUUCUAGAAUGCAGGGCUAAAGAAAAUGCAGCCAGAUCUCUUCUCAUGGGAGCACAGUUGCAGCUCCCCACCAUUCCCCUUCCCCAGAUCAAAAGAAGAUCAACAUUGAAUAGCUGACCAGAUAUAUCAGUUUAAUAAACUAUUAACACUAAUUAGUAUGCUUGCAGGAUAUGGCAUUCAUAUCCUCCAAACAGUACAGACAAUCCAAACAACUAGGCAGUUUGAAAUUCAUGCAGAAUAGCAUAAACUUUCAAUAACCCAUUCCCAAUUUCUUAGUUUCAGCAAGGGGGAAAAAACUCGUCUCAAUUUCAUUAAAAAGAGAAAAUCAAGUUGCUUAGAACAAAUGGAGAACAUGAUAUGGCAUUUUCCAGCAACCAUUGCUUUAUUAAAAAUAAAGGACCAUAGACACCUACAUCAAGAUUUGAGAGCUGCCCCAACUUUAGCAAGAUCCUCUAGUGCCUUUGAGAUCUGAUCCUCUGUCAUACUAUCCAAACGUAUUCCUCUUUCAACUCCAAAAUCUAGUCAUACACAAAAAGAUCCAUAAGCAAUAGUAAAGCACAAAUAAGAUGUGACCAAAUUACAAACAAGACAAAGAUACGCAACGCAAGAGGAAUUAAAGUAGGUUACAACUAUUUCAUAAUAAACUAGUCUUCUUCCUAAUUGUUGUAUCAAACACUUUAAACCAAAUUGCAUGCACUAACCAUCCAAAACGUCCAAGUUGAUUUCUCCUAACAAUCCCAAAAAUUUGGGAAACGUGUCACAAAUGCCAUUAGGUCAACUACCUCUUUUAUUCACGGAGCAAACGAAAAUCUGAACUCUCUCAAAAGUCGGAAUCUUUAGAAUGCCAAGAUCAAUUGCAGGACAAGUUGAGCUUCCUAGAUUCUCCACUUCUACAUCAACAUAGUGACGAAAACGGGCUACUAUUCCCCUAUGACGUUUUUUGUUAUAUCUAAAUUUAUCAUUUUUUAAAAAAGCUCAAACUUAUCAUCGCAUUCCACAGAAAUCUAAAGUUGGGAGACAUAAAUAGAAAUUUGAAGGGGUAAAAAGACAUACCAAAUCUAGCCCAAAGCUGAGGCUCUGUAUUAUCGGCCUCCCGGAUCAAAAUCGGAAGUUUGGGAUUGAGUUUCUUAAGAUCCUUGUAAUUCCUUUCAAUGAAUACUCUGUGAAUGAUGCAUCCGAAACCAUUAUUGAGAGGGAAAAGGGGGAAAGGAAACUUAAGCCGACGGAAAUACUAAACAAAAUAUAUUGUACGAGAAGGAAGCCUAACAGUGGUACCUUGUUGAAGAGCUGGCUGGAGCCGAUGGGGAGAAGAGGAUUCGAAGCUCCUUGAGAUUCUUUGAGAGAUUACUCCUCCACGCCAUUUCUUUUCUGUAUUUUGUUUGUUACAGCGUCGAUGAUGUAAUUUUGAUAGUAAUUUUUAGGUUCCAGAAAGGCUCUCCAGUGACGAGUAGUAUGUUUUGUGAAUUGCAGAAAACCCCCUCCACUAAAUACCACUACUCAGGGAGGCCUCUCGAAUUUUAAUUGUCCCUCAACCCUCCUCGUCUUUUUUGUUGCUCAAGUUUGUUAAAUUAUAAGUAGUUUCAUCUACAAAUUCAUCCCUUAGCUAGUUGUGAAAUUGUGACGCAAUCUUAAAAGGGAAAAGUUGUAGGCAAUUUAGUGUUGAAGAUUUUUUAGUAACAAUAGUGGAUUAACAAAAUUAAGCAGUCAUUUGUCUAUUAAUUAAGAUUUAACAUCACUCAUUAUAAAUAAAAUUGAAAAUAAAUUAAGUAAGGAAACCACACUUCAAUCAUCCGUUUCUAUAAAAAGCUUUAUUAGCUUUUUGAAUUUUCCAACCACCUAUCUCAUAUGCUACUACAAUUUAGUUUUGCUAUAAAAAUUUACAAAAACUCCCCACGUAGAAGGUAAUGAAAUAGAAAUAAGUACCUUCUCAAAUAAAUGUGGAAUUGUUAGACAAAAAAACUAUGCUAAGGAAAAUAACUUUCAUAAAUUUGAUUAAAUGCUAACUGCAUAUGCAGAUAAUUUCUUAUUUAAACAACUUAAGAGUAAAAGUCGAGUUUAAGAGUACAUGAAGCAAAAAACAAUUUAAUCAAUACGCACAUAAUUUCUUUGUAACAUUUUCUUACAUAUAGAGAAAAACAUUUAAAAAUAUUUACUAUAAAAAAGUAUAUUCUCAAUAAAAUAUGGGGAGUAGAUUUUAAAAAAACAUUGUGAAUUUAGUUUCUUUCUUUUUACAAUGCAAAUUAAAUAUUAGCUAUUUUGUAACAAAAUCAAGAAGCAUAUACCAUGUACAUUAAUAAUAGGCUAUUCAGUACUAACGUAAUUGGUGAAAUCCAAAAAUCAACCUCAAAAAACAAGAGGUAGAGAGAGAGAGCUUAUAGUGCGCCUAAAAGGAAAUUCUGAUAAUAUAAUGGUUCACCGAACAAACUUCAGGACUAACUGGUAAUUUGGAAAAGUUGCACGCUCUUUUAUUACCGAUUGCUCCACUCUUAGAACCCCAGAUGGCCAGAAGAGGUCUAGAACUAUUUGUAAGCAGUAAGUGAUAUGCUCUCUCUGUCUCUAUAUUUCUGCAACACUGGCGAAUUUGGGUUUCUUUGCUUAUACUCAUUAUGCUCUUUGUACGGAAGUUUCUGGUAGAGUUAAGAGUCGUCUGUUGCUAGAUGUGUAUAGUAUAUUCUGGUUUUUCGAUGUAUUCCUGAUUUUGUUGGUUUUUUGGUAGGAUUAUCAUUUUACACGACUGCUGAAGAAUUGAAGAGUCUGUUUUCACCAUUCGGUCUGGUUACGCAAGGUGAUUUGGAUAGCUUUUAGUAGCUUACUGAAAAAGAUUGGUGAUUUUUCUGCUAUAUCUCGUUUUUUUGAGGGAUUAUUAAUUGACUUUUUUUUUUUUACCUGAACAAGUGUUUUGAAAGUUUUUUCAAUUUUGGUAAAGGAUUGAUAUUUUUAUAUAAAAAUCCUAUGCAGUUCCCAUUAUGAGUCAAUAAUUGUUUCGGGUUGAUGCUGUGUAACUGAUGUAUGCAGCUAGGCUUGUUAUUGACCCAAUAACGCGAAGGACUAAAGGGUUUGGAUUUGUCCAGUUUGAUUCAGAAACUGAUGCUCAAAAUGCGUUAAAGGCAAUGAAUGGCAGGGUAUAUUUUCUUUUUUAUCAUAGCUAUACUUAUCUGUGCCAAUUCAUGCGUUUCAUUACAGAAAUGCUUCUGUUAAUUUCUGUGAUUAAAAUGAUUAUUUCUUUCACUUGAUUCAUUAGGAUUUCUGUUUGCUUUUUAUUAUUAAUCGAGGUCUUUCUUAGUGGUAUAAAGUUUAAAGCUUUCCUGUUAGGCACAAUGUAAGAGGUGAAGAAAGAGCAAUUCUUUUGGAUUUUUAUGAAGUUUAAGGGUCAAAAUGUAAACUUGGAGUCUCGAACACUUUGCUGAAUGUACUCUUGGGAUGUAAACAAGUGGACAGAGCUGUAUGGAUUGGAUAGACUCUGUUAAAGAAUGUGUAGGUCAGCAAUGCCACCAAUUAGUGUGCAUCCUUGUGUCUAAACAUGAUUUGAUGCUCCCGAUGCAUCAUGCAUUAUUGUCCUUAAGAACUGAAAAUCAUCAGAGAGAAGCAUGGGACUUAUGAUUUGGUUGAAUUCUCCCAAGUUUUAUGUGACAUUUCCAUUGUUACCUGUCAUAUCCUCAUCAUGUUAUCUUAAUCUAUUUUAAAUUUGUCUUCAGCAAAAACAAAUUCUUUUUAUUGCAAUCAAAAUAGAUGACUAAAAGUCAUGAUUUUUUUGGCUAUUCGUUUCCAUGAGUAAACUACUCAUGCCUUUCACAAGUUAAAGCUAGAAGCAUAAUUUUAUGAGUUGAGUGCAUGUCAAAUAAGAAGUUUAACCAGUGAUGAUUAUUUAAAGCAGCAGUUGACUUUUUCAUUAGUUAGAUAAUUCUCAGAGAUACUCAUGGAUAAGUUUUAUAGCUAAUACACAAGUAGAUUCUACUAAUCCAACUGCAUUUUUGUUGUUACCAUAGAAUGUCAGGGGUGGUGGAUAGCUAAGGAAGUAUGUAAUUUUGAUAUGUAAUUGCAGAUAGUGAAUGGCAGACUGAUUUUUGUUGAAGUUGCAAAGACCACAAGAUCUGAAAAUCAGACAUCCUGAGACUUAAGUUCUCGCGUGCAUUACUUCUACGGAUCUGUAUAAGCAGGCUAAAGCUCCAAAUGUCAAUGGCAAUGGGAGAACUCUUGACUUUUUCUCAAUCCUCUUUACUUCUACUGCCUAAGUGUCAGCUCCAACAUUCUCUGCGAGCAUGGAAUCCCGCUGCACAGAAUCUAGCAUCAACAUUAGCAGUUUCCUCUGGGCAUUUCUUAGCAACGAAGUUAGUGUUAUCUCCAAUUAAGUGUGUACCAAAAAAACACGUUUUUGGGGGGAUUAGAGCAACUGUCAUCUCAGAUUCUAAAAUGCCUACUACUUUCACAGUCGAUUCAGCUGGGGAAGGGGUUGAUGUGCUACCAGACACUGGAGGGGGUGGAAAUGACUUUGGCAAUGCAAGUGGUAAAGGAGGAGGUGGUGGUGGAGGCAAUAAUGGGGUGAUAGUAACGAUAGCAAUGAGAGUGAAGGGGAUUCAGGUGAAAGCAAGGAUGAAAACCUUGGGAGCAGCAAGAAGACUGCACUUUCCAUGUCUCAAAAGUUAACAUUAGUCUAUGCUUUCUUGGUAGGAGCAGGUGGACUCAUGGGCUAUUUGAAAAGUGGCAGUCAGAAGUCAUUGAUUUCUGGUGGACUAGCAGCCUCGCUACUGUAUUAUGUCUACACAGCUCUUCCUACAAAACCUGUUUUUGCUUCAUCCCUUGGUUUUGGGUUGUCUGCUGCUCUCUUGGGAAUGAUGGGUUCUCGCUUUAAAAGAUCAGGAAAGAUUUUUCCAGCUGGUAUUGUCUCGCUUGUGUCCCUUACAUGACUGGGGGCUAUUUGCACGGAAUAAUGCGCACUGCACACUAAUGAUGUUUAAGAUGCAUAAACUUGUUAGGUUUUCCUUAUGUUUUGCUUGUUGCGAGGUUUGUGAUCUAUGACCGUAUUUGUUACCAUCUUGUUCAGGUACUUAAUGUUUACUUUUUUGCAAGAGUUUUAAUGUUUGAUUCUGGUUGGAUUACCUUAUAAUCUCCAGAAGAGCAGACGUUAGUUUCUUUUACCUUAGAAGGGAGUAGAUUUAGGUUCACAAGUGGGAAAUCCCUGCUGUUUCAAGGGAAGGGGGAAGUUGGAUUUGCAGGUUACUUUGGUCGAUCACUUGCCCUUGAAGCAGAAACUUUCAAAAUUAUUUUGAAGUGCUUGUCAUGUUUAGUUUCUUACAGCUUAUGAAUAAAUUGACCUAUCAACAUCUUUGUCCAAAAACUUGAGUUGGCGGAGGAAAAUGCCUCUCUGGCCUUACUCGAGCUUCUGAGUGUUUAAAGCUUAAACAUGGUCUGCUGCUGACAAGGGCUUGAAAUGAAGGGAGUUCCGAAUAGACUUUUGUCUGCGCAUUUACCUUAGUCCAUUUCUAGCUUGGAACGUUCAAUGAAGAAUUUCCGAACGCGUACGUAUACUCGACUUAGACCCGAGAUAAUUCUCGUCCUGGGUGAGGUUUCAUUGCGUGUUGCUACACUCGGAUGGUGAACUUUGCCACGAUUGGUUAUCUUUAAGGGCCAAGGCCCGAAGCUUUCAUACGAUGGAUUCAAGAAAUAUGUAACCCCUCAAAAAGGGAAGAAGAUAAAAAUUCAAGAAGUCAAGUCUCUCAGCAGGUACUGUACUGUACAUGGAAGAUCCCAAUGCAGGCCGACUUUUCUUGAGCAGUUGGGUUCCACCCGGGACUCCUUUGGAGGAAAUGGUUUCUUAAGAAUCGAAUUGAAGUGGGUCUAGGUUGGGCUAGCAUUUUUUGAGUUCGAUGUCGACUGACAGCUGAAAAGUCUGAUUCAGAUCCAACAUGAUUAAAGCCCAUCUCCAAGCCCGAAAUUCUCCAUUUCUGCUGCGGCAUGCAACCCAUAUUUGAAUUUUGAAGUUACUCCCCUGCUUCUUCUCAAGGACCAGGAAGUAUAGUUAACUCCUCCGGCAACUUUGAAAAUGUUCAUGCCUCGCCAUCGGCGAUACCUAUUCGCUUUCAAUAGCUUUUUUCUUUAAUCAGAAUACAUUUUCAUUGAGACAUUUUUUCUUUUCUUUUUAUUUUUGCCCACACAUUUUUUGUCCUUUUAAAACUCACACUUGGGCAAACCCAACUUUUAAAGAAUCAAUGAUCCAAAUCGUGUCGCGUCAUCUUAAACAAAUGGUAUAACAGAAUCAGAAUCAUUGGAUCAUUGAAGUCUAUCCAAGUUUUGGCCUCCUUCUAACAGCCUGAGGACAGAAUCUAAUCAACAUUGACAUGUGCAUACAUUACUUGUGCGGUUGUACCAAUCCAAAAUAAUUGGUUUGUGAAAGGCUUGUACCGUGUGCGUUAAAUUCUUGCAGGUCCUACAGUGGUACCAACAUUGGGUGUACCAAGUGUUCUCAAUAUUCUGGAUCAGCUCGAGAAUUAACACAUGCGAACAAGCCAUUACAAAAUUAAGUGAAGAAUUCACAUGUGGCUUAACAUGAAAUUGUACCAUGGAGUAAACAAGGCCGAAGAGCAUCAGGACAAACGCACGGACUUGACCUGAACAAGUUCACCGAAGGUGACAAGUCAGAGCAGAACUGGGAUACCAGAAGACGUAGCAUUGUGUAAUUUGACGAGGCUCCAAAAAGAUUAGCCGGGAAAAUAUUUGAGUUUUAAAGUAUUAUAACACUGAGAAUAAAACCCGCCCACCAUCCCCACCCUUUUCCCAAAAAAAAACACCGGAUGCAACCGAGGAGAAUCACCAUAUACCAAGUUAAACAUACAGAGAACUGGAAUCUUUUAUCUUAUCCACUCAAAAGCCAAGACAGGAGAACUAUCCUGAUCGUAUUCACGAUUCAACAACAAAGCAUACAGAAAUCAAAUAAUGAAUUCACUUCUCAAAUCUCUCUUAGUGGAUAACAUCUUUUCUCAGUAACAGACUGACUGGUGAAUGCCAGAAAAGGUUAUGAUCUCACAGUAUGUACAUUUGUUUCUUGGUAGGAAUAAGUUCCCCAUACACUCUAGUUCAAUGAAAUUUUCCAGAAAAUUGUCUCAACGGAAAAAUUGGCACAAGAUUAUCACAUGUACUCGUCACAAGCUAGAACAAAAUCUCUAGUAAUACUCAAAUUUAGAUGAUUGUCGUUAUAGGCCACCACCAUGCAAGCAUACAAGGAGAGAUGCCAGUGACGAAUUCUUCUUCUCAUUGCUGAGAAAGCAGACAAUAUUUAAAUCAACAAAUGAUUCACCAUAGACCGAAUCCUUUGCCUUCAUCUUUUGUGAACACACUGAACACGGAUAUUUCUACCAUCCAAUAUCUGAAAAAGGAGCAUUAGGAGACUAAACUUGAACUGAAAGAAAGGUGCAAGCUCACACACAGAACUAUGCAAUACUACAAAAAAACAUACCUUGUCAUUCAUUUCCUUCAAGGCGUUGCUCGCUGCAAUCUCUGUAGUGAAAUGCACAAAUCCAUAUCCUUUUGACUUUCCACUCUUAUGAUCACAUAUUACCUUCACUGUCAAGCACAUGGGAUCAACUCUUAGACUAAAUAAAGUGAAGGACAAGAAAAGACUACAAUCAAGGAUACAGCAUAUUGCCUUCAAUAAUUUCUCCAUGCAUCUCAAAAGCAUCCUUCAGAACUGUUUCAUUGGUGUCGUAAGACAGCCCUGCAACCAAAUGCAAAGUAUUCAACUAUACAUUGUCUGGAAAGGGAGUAUGUAUCCUCCUCAUGGCCGCAAACCAAAAUACAAAAUGACACAGAGGAAGAAGCGAAAGAAUAACAAAAGACUCCACUAAUAACCAUUUGAAUCAUAUGUUUCAAUCAAUAUGAUUGAUCAAAGGUUAUGUCACUAUCUAUCAUCAAGGAUUAUUCACUAGUGUGAUGCCGACCUAAUUCAACGACCAAUGAUCAUAGCUUAAAGUCAAUCACCAAAAUCGUAUUGUAGAGUUUUCCAAAUGUUCGCUCAUCAGCCAUGACUGUAUGGACGUUUGUGAGGGAGAAAAGAAUCACGUGUAAAAAAUGAGAAUGUCUGGCCCCGCAAAUAGUUUCAGAAAGGAAUUAGGAUCCAAAAAUUUUCCUUUGAAAUAGUCGCAUUAAGAUUUCAUUUUGGAAAUUGUACAAGGAUGAUAAAUGAUCUAAUACUACUGUAACUUCACCUAGAUUCUAACAUUCUGCAUUAAAAUAGCAUUUGACAAAACAGUUCAUCAUUUCCCCGAAAAAGGCAAUAUUUUUGUUGAAGCCAUUUCGUUAGUGCGGACUCUAUUUAUCUCCACAGGUAGAUAGAUGCCAUAUCCCUUCAUCUUCUCAGGUUAGUGCUGCAAUACUUGAGUAACCUUGUACAUAGUGCAACCAUGCUAGCAGCAUCACGUGAAGAAGUCAUUGGAACAUUUUCUCAAACAUAUGGAAUGCUACCCAAUAGAGCACUAAUUAGAUAUGCACGAAGCCACGUAUAAUAAUCGGAGAUUAAAAGCAGCAUCCAACAAAGAGAGAAAGAGACCUCCAACGAACAAUUUAGUGGAAGAGGGACGAGAGAGGAGCCAUCGCGCCAUCGGAGAUGUAUACGUGAACCGGGCUCCUUUCCAUAUUUGCAUAUUAUUUCCCCCCUUUUUUUUUAUAUAUUCCCUCGUCGUCGAUAUUCUAAUGGCCUGGAAAUACGGAUACACUUCACUGUUAAAGAAAAGCUAAUGCUAUGACUUAACUAGAAUUAGGAGCUCUGACAUUGACGAAAAUAUGUCGCCGCUUUCACAACCUUCUCCCCCAUUUUAUUUUCUUUUUGGUGUCUCUUAAGCCUGGAUUUCGCCAUUGGGCCUUUAUUUAUUUAUUUAUUUGCUUACCGGUAACAAAAAUUCCUUAUGGUUAUGAUAUCAGGAGCGGGGAGAGGACUUUAGAGCGCAGGAUUACGGAUGGGCAGGGACGGGCCUCGCCCCAUUAUCACCUCUUGUUGAAAUGGGCUUUCAUGAAGUCACUAAAGUGUUAGUUCGAUGCCAAUUGUCAUUCAAAAUAAUUUUGUAUGUUAUUUUUAUAUGUUUUCAAUUAAAUAUUUUCAUGAAGUAAAAAUUAGUCUUAGUUUAAGGGUCCAUUUGUUUCAAUUGAAAAUUUUUUUUCCGAAAACAACUUCCUUGAGCUCCGGUGUUUGAUUAAAUUAUUGUUGAUGAAAAUAUUUUUCUGCGUAAAAUAUUUUACACCUCAAGGUGUAAAGUAACUUCCAUAAAAAGACUUGCUAAAAUUGCUUUCUAUCGCCUGCAGCCAUUGCCCAUUCUCACACAGCGAACACCUACCUCUUCCACGGUAGAUAGCUAACUCUUCGAUGACAGAGAAAGACAUAAAUGGAGAAAGAGAAAUCAAGAUAAACUGCAACCUAGGAAGAGAGAAAGAAAGGACAGAUCAACAGUCGGAAAGAGAAAGCCACCAUGAGCCCAAUAGUGAAGGUUGCAACGGAAUAGAGCCACCUUGUGCUUCGAUGUUAACGCCAACGGUGACUUUUCAGCAAAUAAUCAAUUUUGUGGAGUUUUACGUUGGUGGUGAUGUAGCAUGCGAAGGAGAUUACAAGUGAAGGGAAACCACGAACCAUAAGGCCCAGUUUGAUCUAAUGGUUAUUACUUGUUGAGAAUAUGACAGGGAGAAACACCUCAAAAGAAUCCAUCAAAUAACCCAAUAUGUAAGUCAGAAAUUCAACUCUGACCCAAAAACUUAAACUAUUAGAUUUUGGAUCCUUAUUUACAUAUUAACCGUUCUUUCUCCAUCCCUCUAAUUAAUGUAGGACACAACCAUUUACUCAUGAAUCUAACAAAUCUCUCCCUUCAUGAGUAAUCCUCACAUUAAACCCAAAUUUACUAAUCAUUUUUCGAGUCCACUUUAAUACUCAAUGUAAGUCCAUCUUUAUCACCAAAGUCACAUCUUCUCUCAAAUAUAGACCCACUCUUCUUCAACAUCCAAACUGCAUUCUGCACCCCUGCCAACCCUUGGUUUCUUGGUCUAACAUUAACCGAACCCCCUGCCAAACCUAUGGUACACCUAGUCCAACACCAACCAAACUUCUUGACACUUCGGUCCACCAUUAAGAAGAGAAUUUUUACCUGGUCCAACUCCGAGAAAAAUAUACUUGCCCAUGAAUAGCCCAGUCUCACAACCUGAAACUCUAAUACCAAUUUGAUAAGGAGAAACACCUCGAGUGAGUCUGCCAAAGAGCCCAAUAUGUAAAUCAGGAACCCAACUCUGACCCAAAAACUUAACCUAUUAGGUUUUGGACCUUUAUUUACAUAUUAAUCGCUCUUUCUCCAUCUCUUGGACCAAUGUGGAACACAAUCCUUUACUCAUAAAUCUAACAGAAUAAUGUUUUCAAAAAAUUAAACCAAACACAAGAAAAUAAUGAAGAAACCAAAUAUUUUCUUGGAAAAUUACUUUUAAGGAAAAUGUCAUCCCAGGGAAAGCAUUUUACACCCUACCAAACAGACCCUAAAUAACAAAUGUUUUCCCACCAAAAAGAAUUUUUACCGCUUAAAUUUUUAAUGAAGGAUAAGCUAAUCGUUUCAUCAAUUACUUAGAUGAAGUUAAUUUCUUCAUUUUGUAAUUUAUCAAGAGUGUAGAGUGCCAAUUAAAAUACUUUAAAGUGUAAAGUACAACUAAUAUAAUAUUUCAUGGAGACUUUUAGCAUUUAAUCCUUUCUUUUAUUUUUGGAUUUAAUUAUGCGUAUUUGUAACUCGCUAUUACUCCAUUUGGUCACACAAUUAAACCAGCAUGGUAAUUGAUCAUCGAUGAUUUGUUACAAGCAACUGCUUCAAGAAUUUAUCAAACAAAAAAUUAGUUUAACCAUUUACAUUUCCAGCCAUGUAGAUCGGGGAGUGAUCUAGGAAACGGACUAAUAAUUACUAUUUGUCACUGGUCCAAUUAAACUCGAAAAAGAUAGUAAAAAAUUAACGGCGAAUGGCUUCAGUGUGUUUCUUGAAUCUUUAAUAGAUGAUAAGAAUUACUUGAAAAGUGUAUACCAAUUCACCACCCGUUUUUUCUGCAUGACGUCAUCAACUUUGCGCUUCAGCCUUUGGUGACCUACUUCAUCUCAGUUUGUUUUGUCUGCUAACUUUUCUUGAGAGCUCUAAUCUUCUUUUUAGUAGCUUGAUGUUACCUGAUUUCCUUUAUUUUUAUUUUUAACAUUUUAACAUCCUCCAUGAGACCGUUGUCUUCUACACACACUAUUCAUGGACUAGCCAACUGCGAUAAUGGCGAAAGUGAUUGCCUCUUGUACUGAAAAGAAAAACUGUGUAAAACCACUGCUAUUUUUAGAUUUCUUGGGCUUUUGCUAUGCAGAGUUUGUACUCUCUGAUGACCGAUUCAUUUUUUUUAGAUUUCCUUCACCAGCUAGCUUCUUGGGUUUCAUGGUUAUGGAUUUUGCCGGUAUCUCACAUUGUUCAUGUUUCUCAGCUAUUGCUGCUCUUGAAUCCGUACUUCUACCUCCGAUAGUAGAUUUUGUUUCUUUUUUUGAAAAAUUUACUUCACCGGGUAGCUUUUUCACUAUAGAUUGAUGUGAUUUUGCAAACAUUUUUGGAUUCUUGGAUUCAUCACCAUGAUUCCCAGUGCAAGUAUUUGUGUAGUUCUCGGUUGAAAUAGCAUUUUAACUUGAAGAGUUUAUAGCAAUUAUAUCUUUCUAGCGAUAUCCAUACGGACUUAUAGACAAAGUCCAGCAAAAGGCGGUUCUUUUCCAUCUUACGGAAAUAGCGAUUUGUACAACUAUGAUGGUAAAUCUUCAUGACAAAUAGAUGUAGAAAACACCAUAAAUGGAGUGAAGGCUGUUAUCAAGGCUAAAAUAGAGAAAAAUAAAAAGAGAUAGAUAGUUCACAAUUUGAUGGGUUUUUGUGAUGGUGAAGAUGGUAACGUGGGUGUUUUAAAAAAUGUACCUGCUAUGCUGGAGCAUUGACAAAAGUAGAAUAGACAAAGAAAAAAGUGAGAAAAAUGAAGAAAACUAAUAGGGGUAGGCUGUGCUAUGCACAACCAGUGCCCAUUGGAAAAUAUUCAUUGGCAGUAAUUGAUGAAACAAUAGCUUUGUAGUAGUAGUUAUAUUUUUCAUAGGAAAUAAUAAGUUGUUUUGUUGAAUAUAUUAGUAAUUGCAUUUUAUAGAAAGUGAAUUCACAUUUGUUUCUUUUGGUUUGACAUGUAAAUACAAAUGUGUAUUGUUGGAAAAAUAUGUUGAUUUCUAUAAAAAAUUUUAGAAUGUUUAAAUACAAAUGUGUAUGAUUGGAAAAAUAUAUUGAUUUCUAUAAACUUUAGAAUGUUUUUUGUUUUAAUAAUGUUGUAUUGACGAUAAGUUAUUGAAGAAGAAGCUGCACAUCUUGUGUCAUUUGUUUUAUGAAAAUGACCAAGAAGGAAGCUAUGAGAACAAACAAAAUGAAUAAAGCUUCAAAACUUUAAUCUGCUUUGUCAAAUAUACCUUCUGAGUUUGCUAUUGUCAAAAUUUUCAUCUAAAAGACAGUUAACGAUAAGUAAACUAUUCCAUUGAAUCAUGGUCCAAUCUAAUGGUAAAUGUAUGAUAAAAAUACAAAAAAUAAUUGAUCGAGUGGUAGAAAUUUAUACACAGAACAACCUAAGUGUUAGGUAAAUGGUAGGCAUCCAAUUAGGCCUGUCAACGGGUCGGGUCUGGACCCGGAUCCGGACCGGAUCCGUGAAAUUAUUGCGGGUAUGGGUAGGGAUUUAAUUCCGUUUUCCGGAUCCGUUUUGUCAAACAAAAAACGGGUCAGAUACGGAAUAUAGCAUUUCAACCCGUAUUAGACCCGGAUCCGGAUAUAAAUGAAUUAAUAAUUUAAAAUAUAUAUAUUUAUCAAUAUAAUUUGAUUAGGAUGAUGUAUUUGAGUAAAGUCAAUUUGAUUUCUUUUCUUAUUUGAUUUUUUCUUUGCAUUAGUUAGAAAUUAGUUUACAAAUAUAUUUUUUUCUCAUUUUUAUUAGAAAUUAUAAAUUUUGCUAAAUUUGUGCGGGUAAAUCCGACCCGGAUCCGGACCCGCCGGAUCUGGAUCCGAAACAUAGAAUAAAAGACCCGUCGGGUAAACGGGGUCGGAUCCGAUUCCGGUAUAAUAAUUCGGGUCCGGAUCCGGAAUAAUGAAUUCCGGCCCGUGACAGCCCUACAUCCAGUAAUAGAUCGAAGGAUGUAAAACAAUGGCCUAUGAUUUAUAAAGAUUGUAAGAUUAUUUGUACAAGAAAAAAAUGGAAACCAGGAAUGAGAUGUAUAAAAGAGCGGCCAACUGUUUUGAAGUUUACCAAGGAAUAAUUUUAGAAACAUUCCCUUAAAUUUCUGACAAUCUUACUAGUCUCCCCUUAAGUUUGUAAAAUUAUACAAAUCUCCUUUGAAAUUAAAAUUUUGAUAACAAAGUUAGUUCAAUUAGAAAAAGUAAUAUUAAAAAAGUACUUUAAACAGAGAGAUGAACUUUUAUUUCAUAAAUAUCCUUUACGCAUGCAUAUAAGUUGUAUUACUAAAAGAAUGAAAGUAAUUAAAAGUUAAAAAUAAUUAAUACACACAUUUUACCACUCAUGAAAUUCACAUUCAAUAAAUUAGACAACACAAAUAAAUAACAAAAUUAUACUAAUGAUUUCAAGAUUCAAUAAAAUAGACUAAUCAUCUCUUUUGACAUUAUGUUUGCUAUAAUUCUUAUGAUUUUAAAAAGAACAAAUUUUUAAAUUUUGUCUCUCUUUCCCUCCUUUCUCCUUUAUUAAUAUCUAAUGAUUAAGUAAUUAAAGUACUAAUUAACAAAAAAAUAUUAAAAAAAAUUUAAUCAUGAACGAUGACUUGUAAUUACAAACUAUAUCAAUUGAUACAUCUAAUGGCACUAUUUUGUGAUUGAUAGAAUUUGACGAUGACCAAAAAUCAAUUGUACACAAUAUAAGAAGAAUGGUUUUGGUAGAAUAACAAAUUCAAGCAAAAAAAUUAUUCAUAAGGAUUUUUUUUUUUGAAACUCUUAAAACUGUAACAUUUGUAAAAUAAUUUUGUGAAAGUAAAAGAGAAAGGAGGAAAAGUAAAAGGCAAAAUUUGAAAAUUUUUCUGUUUAAAAUCACAAGAAUCAUAACAAAUAUCAUGAUAACAAAUCAUAACAAAUAUCGAAUAAUUCAAAUAAUUUUAUUAUUUUUAUAAUAUAUUUAUUUUGAUUAUGAAAUGACCAAUAUGAAUUUAUAAUUCAAAUAAUUGACACGAAAUUUUGUAAUUUGAGUUUUCAGGUACUUGAACUCGAUAAGGUUUAAGAACUAUAUCGAACCUUAUCGAGUCGAAUUUGAGCUUUGGUAUUUUUUUUCUUUCAAGUCGAAUCAAGCUACACAAAUUUUUACUCGCUCAAGUUCGAGUUCGAGUUCGAGUUCAAGUAUGCGUGCUUAUCAUCGAAUUCAAGUUCGAACAUAUCACUGCUUGAAUUCCACUCAACUCGUUAUCACUUCUAAAGUGAACAAGUUUUAGUGCAAUAUAUGCAUCAUUGACUGACCAAACUAGCUGUUGGCUAUCGCAUCCAAUGAGUUGCAUCCUGAUUUUUGUCCGUUCCUUACAGGCAUCCUGUUUGGAAGUUUCAAUACUAUUUACAUAUCAAAAUACAUAAAAGAAUUUUAAAAAAAAAAACAAAAAGUGUUCGGGGUUUGGCAGAAUCGGUAAUGAGGCAGAAAGGGAGAAAUACUUUCUGAUCUUUUCUGUCUAUAUACACAAAUGUUCAAGAUUUAACUGGCAUUUGUGAACACCAGCACGUACAACAUACUAAAUCCAAGAAGCUGCUUAACACUUAGUUGAAAUGAUUGAUCCAUAAUGCAUAUUUUCCACGUUUAAGUUAUUCAAAUAUUGUGAACGGUAAUGGCAUAGCAAGAGAGGGAUUUGAAAGGAGAACCAAAGGAUAUUGGAAAUGUUUGAUUCACAAACAAGGUUUUGCAUUGCUUUGGCGAACAAAUGUUUCAACAGGUUUUGAAAAUUUCCGAGAGGACCAUGAACCUGGUCGCCGGAUCCUGACUUCUAUGACUUUAAUUGAACGAGGGGAAAGCUGGAAUAACUCUUGGAUGUACCUGGUUGCCGGGUCUGAUUUUAAUUGAACGAGGGUAACGCUGAAUAACACUUUAUAUCCAUCCAUGAUCCACCCAUACAAAAUGAGCAAUUCAUGAUUUAAAGAUUGAGCAAAACCUCUCUGGCUAUUCUAUCCGAUUUUGAAGCAAAUUGUGAAACAGAUCACGAAACCAAAUUUGCAAGUGAGAAUCCAUUCCUCCUGUAGAAGUGCUUUCAGAGAUACUUGUGUAUCGCAAAGCAAACAUGUACAGUCCUUCCAACCGCCACCCCCCCCCUAACCAAAAAAAAGACCUCCAAAACCCACAAAAAAAAAAACACGUAAGAGUGAUUUAAUACCAUUGCUUGGCCUCUAAGAACAAAAUUUAAUCGAAUCACAGAUAGAAUUUCUCCCUUAAGUCAGCAUGAAACAGAGAGACAGCUCUCAAAAGAACUCGAGACAACCACUCAACUCCUUUGCCUAGGUAGCUAGCUCGGAAAUUAUACAUACAGAACUAACUAGCGGAAAUUUAUCAGUUGUAGGUAAAGAAAACCGAGCGUGUUUGAAUAAUAAAUUAUUUGAGAUAAUUUUAUAAAAAAAUAUAAACAUUUUUAAUAUGAAAUAAAAAAAUAAAAAAUAUAUUCAUGAUGUAAAUAAAUCAAUGUGUAUAAAUAAAUUGUACAAUAACGUGUAGUCCAACCAAACCAUAUUGGGGAAGAACCCAGAACUGCAAAUAGCUGAAUGCUUAUUGAUUCAUCUAGUUGAAGCUUCAUAUAACAACUAACUAUCCUUAAUAGUUCAAAUCUCAAGUUCCCAAAUUUAAACAGGAAAAUAAAAAUCCAUGAAUCCACGUGAUUACUUUAAGAACCAUGACCAAAAGUCAGUAAAUACCAAGAUCCAAAACCAACAAAUAGAUUAACUCACCAGCAAACAUAUAGCAGAAACAAGUGGUUUCAUUCAUCAAUAAUGCAGCUGAAAUACACUAGACACCAGAACUAUGAAUUACAAUAUGACCCUGUGAUCUAACUCUUCCUUAUCGAAACCAAAGACAACUUCUAACCCCACAAUUAGAUACAACUGAAAACUAAGGUCAAUCAAAAAGAAAAAAAUCAGAAGGAUCUAAGCAGCAGCAGCCUUCUUAGGGGAUUUGGCAGCUUUGGAUGGAGAUUUC